GACAUUUAUAAGUGGCCCUUCAGUCGUUGAAAUUUUUAAAUCUUUUUUAAGGUCGAUAGAAUUAUUUAUAAGCUUCAUAGAACUUUUUUUGAAAUCUUUUUUUUAUACAAAUACCUUUAAAAAUAUUAAAUAUUAAAAUUGAACAUUAUUAAUAUAAAAAAAUAGUAAUUUGAAUAUAAUAAUAUCAAAAAAGAAUCGUAGUUUAAUUUUUACAAGUAAAUUGGAAAUAAAUUAAGGUUAUAUAAAUAUUCAAUAGUAAAUGAGCUCGAUAGAACUUUUUGCAAGUCUUUUUGAAUUUUUUUAAGAUUCAUCAUACGUGGCGUUGUUACACCUAGGGAGGAUCCAUUAUAUCUUACAGCUCGAUCUAAGGCAACCCGUCAGGUUUCCAUCCUAUAUACAUUGAAUCUUUAAAAUAUUUAAAAUAAGGUUGGAGAGAAGGUCAGCUAUUGUUGUAAUUUUAAUGGACAAGCAAGCUACAUGGUAAUAAAUAUUCAAUAGUAAAUAAGCUCGAUAGAACUUUUUUCAAGUCUUUUUGAAUUUUUUAAGAUUCAUCAUACGUGGCGUUGUUACACCUAGGGAGGAUCCAUUAUAUCUUACAGCUCGAUAUAAGGCAACCCGUCAGGUUUCCAGCCUAUAUACUUUGAAUCUUUAAAAUAUUUAAAAUAAGGUUGGAAAGAAGGCCAGCUAUUGUUGUAAUUUUAAUGGACAAGCAAGCUACAUGGUAAUAAAAUUAAUUCAUACUUAUUCAUACUUUAUUUGAAUCAAAUAAUAAUUAAGUUGAACCAAAUAUAAAAACUUAUUCAUACUUAUUGAUACUUCAAAUAAUAAUUAAGCUACAAGAAUCAGGUCUAGUUCAAGUUUAUUUAAAGGGUUGCAAUUCAUACAUUUGAUUAAUGUUAUGAAAUAAAGGGUGUGCUUGUUUUUCUAUCCCAUAAAGGAUAUCCCACAUGCGCAUAUUACUGUAAGUUGAACUAUACCUCAUGGUUAAGUAAGCAAAAUUUUACAAACACAUACAAGCAUAUCUAAAUAACCAAAUUUCGCUUGCAACAUAACCAAUUCAUACAUUACUCACUUGACUAACAUUAAUCAUUUUUCAUGUCAUUUAGACAAAUCAAAACAUGUCAAUUUCAUAUGCUAUAAAUCAUGCUGAAAUUUCAUAUACACAAGUAAAUCAAUUUACAUAUAUUCGGUCAUUUAAUAUGACUUCAAUAUAACAGUUAAAACAUAUUCAUUCUUGCCAUCAUAAACCAAACAUAAAUAGUCAAAUAUCAUAGCCGAACAUACAAUAACAUAUAUAUAUAAUAAUUCAUGACAUAAAUACAUAUGUAUUCAUUUAUCUAUCAUCAACCAAAUAUAACGGCUCAUUACUGCCAUUUCCCAAACUAAUAAAUAGACAAAUUACAGUCAAAAUGUAAUUCAAUAAUAAACCAUACCCAAAACACAUCCAACAACCAUACUUAAUUCACUUUAGCCGAAUUAUAGCGACCACAAAUGCAUAACAAUCUUACCAAGAUGAGCUAAUUAUAAACCAUACUUAUCAUUACUUCAUACCAAAUCAUAUAUCUAAGUAAAAUGAUUUUUUUCAAAAUCAUCAUGAUGAAACUAUUAUUUAUGCGAAUUUUGAACUAAAACAUACCUUAAUAAUUUCAACAAGCUGGUCUACUCCACUCUCACCAGGAAAUAGAGGCUGGAGUCAGAAAAAUAGUAUUUGUUAAGUAAUUGAAAGUGAAAAUGCAUAUAAAUAAGCAAAAAAAGUAUGCAAUGAAACACGUGCUCGAUAGUACUUAGAACUAAUGUAAGAUAUGUUUGGUUCCCCUUUCACCUGACAAAGUAGUUUUUCAACAACCUGGUCUACUCCACUUUCACUAGCAAAUAGAGGCUGGAGUAAAAAAAGUUGUAUUUCUUAAGUAAGUUAAAGCAAAAAUGCAUAGAAAUAAGUUAAGUAAUUUAGCAACAAAACAUGUACCUAGAACAGAUGUUAAUGGCUGUGGUGUAUUUAGUUGCACCAAAUAUUAAUUUAGGUGCUCGAUAGUACCUACAAAAGAUGUAAGACAAUAAGAGUAGCACCAAAUAUAUUUCAGUUCAAGCAAAUAUAAAAACUUGAUCAAUAUCAAAACUUGAUCAAAUAUAAAAUUUUAAUAAAAAUCUAAAAUAUUAAAUAUUAAACUAAAAAUAUAUUUCUUUAUAAAUCUGAGUAAGUCUAAAACGAGAUUAAGUUAAUCAUUUAAAAAUAUGAAAUAGAAUUGAAUAAAAUUUUAAACCUAUAAUUUGGAUUGAGUCAAAUUCGGACAAACAUAAAAAAUGCUAAUAUCGUAUAUAAGCUCAACCUAAACCUGACUCAACCUAACCUCUAGUUUAAGUCAUUUACCAAUACACCAGUGACUGAUUGAGACAGCUGAUUAUCGAUUCAUUGGUAGAGAUAUUUUUUCAAUACUACCUAAAUGGGAAGUAGAAAGCUAUAGUCUUCAUCACCACAUGUUACCAAUUGAUGAUAUAAAAGACCAAUGAGAGUCUUCAUAUAAUGACGUGCACAUGCUAACAAUGCAAAGUUAUUUGUAGGCAACAUUAAAGAAAUAAGGCAGCCUUUUUCUUCUUGUUUCCAGAAGCAUGCAUAUUUUUCUAGUGGGGUAGAUCAACAUCCUCCUUGACUAGAGGAUCAAAUCAUAUAAUUGUCGGCUACCUUAGCCUUUUUUAUUUUUUUCUAGAUUGCUGAUAAAAUUCUUCAGUAUUUAAAGUCUAAGACUUCACAGGAACUAAGCUGAAGACUAAGCCUUUUAAUGUAAAGGGAUAAUCUCAUGAAUUAAAAAUAUUCCAUACGAAGAAAAUGCAUGUAGUAAGGGAAAUAAGAUUUGUAUGAUCAUUCCAAGAAUCUCAUCAAUUUCAGUUCAGUUGAUUAUAUCAGCAAACACUCGUGAAACCAAAGAAAAAUAUCAGAACAAAAAACUAUGCCACUUGGCUCCAGCUUAAGUGUUCUAUGCAGAUAUGUUCAAUUUUUUUUGGAAGAUCUUAGAGGGGUUAUAUCCUUAUAGUCAAUGUCUAUAUAUGCAUCAAACAUGGAUAAACACUUCGAGAAAAAUGAAUAGUCAAAAAACAUAAAAUCUGAACGCUAUUGAUAUAGAAAGCUGGGUUCACGAACUACCAACUAAAUAAUAGCUAUGAAUAGAGUCUAAGCUGAUUGAAUAUUAACUUAGUUGGCAUUGACAUUGUUGCCGGUGCAAGAGGAUGUGGAUUCAAACACACUCAAGUGCAUUUUAUCCCCCAUUUAAUCUAAGGUAGCUCUACAAAAGUAAAAAAAGACACUAUCAGUCAGCGUAAGUGCAUUAAAUUCUAUACCACUUCACAUGCAGACAACCCAACAUUAAACUCCAUCUAGUUACUCUUAAACCCUAUUCUCGUGUUUUCUUUACCGCCUAUGAAGCCUCUGUAGCUGAAACUUUAAAACACCAACAUUCACAGUGGAAGAACUUCAGUAGAUAUAAUACCUGAAUACAGUCAACAUCAAUGCAUCAUCACCUUUACAAGCAACCUAAGUCAUGUAUGCCACCAAGACCAUCAACAUGUUAGGGACAGGGGAAUAGAUUUAGGGAAAAAGUAUGGGGAAAGGGGGGAUUUGGGGAAAAUGUUAGGGAAAUGAAUAUGGGGAAAAGAGGGGAUUUGGGGAAAAUGUUAGGGAUUUCGAGUUUGGGGAAUUAGGGGAGGAAAGGGAAAAGAGUUAGGGAUUUGCGAUUUAGGAAAGGAAGAACCGAAAUAGGGAAAUGACUUAGCAAAAAACUGAACUGAUUUCGAGUAAAGGAGAUAAACUUCAGGGGAGAAAAAACGACGGCGUUUCAAAUAAGGAGAAUUUGUGGUGUUUUCAACAAAGCACCGCUAAUUAGACCUUUUGCGGCGUUUUAUGCGAAGCGUCGCUAAUGCCACUUCUAUCUACACUACAAAAUGACACCGUUCUAAAUUAAAGUCAAUUACAAUUUGUGGCGUUUUCUAUAAAAAUGCCACUAAUAUUCAUAUGAAACGACGCCGUUUUACUUUAAUGUACAAUUAAAUUUUGUGGCGUUUUGUUAAAAACGCCGCCAUUUCCUAUCAUUUGCGGCAUUUUAUAUAUAAACGCCACUAAAACCUUUGAUAAUAAAAAAUAUUUUUUAAAAAUUGAUCAAAAUUUAAAACUAUAUAUUUAGAAUUUCUUCUAAAUUAUAUCCAAAUAAUGUUACUGUAGUACAAAAUAUAUAUUUCAUAUAUUUAUAUUAGGUGUAUGCAAUAUAUAAAUUAAUACACAUUUUAAAAUACAUCAAUAUAUUUUUAUAUUGAAUAAAUAUAAAUAUUAUGUAUGCAAUAUAUAAAUUAAUGAAAUAAAAACAUGAUGCUAUUUAUAUCAAUAAUUGUGUUAAUAUUUUACAGUAUCUAGAUCGAAUUAUAGUUCGUGUACACAAUUGCACACUAACCCAUUUUUCAUCCGUUAGUUGUUCAUGUAUGCUUUUGGGAUUUAACCUAUCUUGAUAUAUUUUUUUAAAAAAAUAAUAAUUUAUAUUUAUCUUAUUUAGAUUUAUAUUAUAAAAAAAUCCAAUAUACACAAGUUAUGUAGUUCACCAUAUUUAUCCCCAAACCCUAAAAAUUAAAUCAUAAACCCCACACCCUAAACCCCAAAUCAUAAACCCUAGAUCUUAGACCAACAUCACCUUAAACCCUAUAUAUAUAUAUUACAAGGGACAAAGAUAAUUAAAAAGGAAUUUUAUUGCUUAUCUAAACUCUAAACCUCUUAACCCCUAUCCCAUAAACACUAAACCCUUAACCCCAAACCCUUACACCUUAAACCCCUAAACCUAACCCCUAAAUCUUAAAUCAUAAUCCCUAAACCCAUAAUUCAUCAUAAACCUUCAAAUACUAGGUAACUCUUAAACCUUAAACCCUAAAUCAUAAAUCUUAAACCAUAGUUAACUCAUAAACCUUAAACCCAUAUAUCUUAAACCAUAAACCUUAAACUAUAAUGAUAAUUAAUUUAAUAUUUUAAAUUCAAUACUAUCUCUUUUACGAUUAUAUAAAAAAAUAUUUAAUAUAUUGUAUAACCAUAAAUUUUAAUAAUUAUUGUUUUAGGGGUUAUAGAUUAGUGUUUAUGAUUUUUUUUGGGUGGGGUUAUAUGACUUUUAGCGGCGUUUUACCAAAAGCGCCACCAAUGCUCUGGUCUUUAGUGGCAUUUUUUACUAAAACGAUGUUAUUGCUUUGUUUUUAGCGGCGUUUUACCAAAAACGCCGCUAUUGCUCUGUGUUUUACAAUUUUUGCGGCGUUUUUUUAUAAAAUGCCGCUAAAAAUGCCGCUAAAGCCCAUUUUCAUGUAGUGGUUGUAUCAAAUUUUUAUGUUAUAAUUAUAUUAUACUUUAUUAGUUGAAAAAUUAUAUACAAUUUUUUAUAAUUAUUUAUAUAACUCUUAAUAAAUGUUCAUCUUAGUUUAUAAAUUUUCAAGUUUAUUACUGUACAUUUCGAACUUGUGCACUUUUUAUUUUUUAUUUUGCAAUAAAUUAGUUGCACAAUUUCAAUGUAAUUUUUCUAUUUAAAUAUUAACAUGAUUUUUCAAUAGAUUGACUAAAAAAUAUUAAUUUAUUAUAUGAUUAAAUACUGUCUUCUUGACUAAAAGUAUAUAUUUAAUACUAAUUAAUUUUUGGUAUUAAUAAUGUUUGAUUUUAGUAUUUAAUAUUUUUAAAACGUAUAAAUAUAUUUUUAUCAAUAUAAUAAUAUUGACCAUUAUUUAAAUUUAUUUUAAUAUAAAAAUCAAAUUACUAUUCUUUUUUCCCAAAAAUAAAAAACUUGUAAUAAGGUUGGGUUUCAUCCAUUUCCUCAUUUGCAAGUUCAAUGUAAUUAGUUAAACAAAGUUUCAAUUUAGGUUCGUCAUUACUGAUUGAAUAGUUUAUUCUUUAGUUGCAAUAUUAUCCAAAUCCUAUCUCAAGUUAAGUUUUUAAAUAUUAUUUAAUACAUAACUUACAUAACUUAUAUAAUACAUAACUUACAUCAUUUACAUAACUGACAUAAUACAUAACUUACAUAAUUUAAAGAUCAAAUUUUAUAACUUACAUAAUUUACAUAACUUACAUAAUACAUGAGUUACAUAAUUUAAAGAUCAAAAUUUCAAAACUUACAUAAUACAUAACUUACAUAAUUUAAAGAUCAAAUUUCAUAACUUACAUAAUACAUAACUUACAUAAUUUAAAGAUCAAAUUUCAUAGCUUACAUAAUUUAAAUAACUUACAUAAUAAAUAACUUACAUAAUACAUGACUUACAUAACUUAAAUAUACUUAUAAAUAAACAACUUACCCGUGUAAUUUAUUGUAAACUUUAGAUUUCAAGAACUACGAAAUGGAUAGGAGUUGGAUAAAUUUGUCAAGGGUAAGCAACGCCUAUCGAAAUGGAGUACAAACUUUUCUAAAUUUUGCAUUUCAAAAUGCAAGCCAAGAGAAUAUGAUUUUUUGCCCGUGUAAGAAGUGUGGCAACAUGAAUUGGCAUUUUCGUGAAGUUGUCUACGAACAUCUAAUUGUUGAUGGCUUUAUUCGGGGGUAUAAAAAUGGAUUUUUCAUGGUGAGUGUACAUCUAGUGGAACUUCUUCAACGAUUAUGUUAGACAAGAUGACAUGAAAGGUAUGUUGCAGGAUGCAUUUAAUAUGCACAGUCAUGGUGAGCAAUCGUUUCCACCUGACUUUAUUGCAUCUGAUGAUUGUAAUAUUGGUGGAAAUGUUUUUUUGCGAAACGGGAACAAGUGCAACUAAUGAGGAGCCAAAUGAAGAGGCGGCGAAGUUCUACAAUUUACUUAGUGAAAUGAACGAAGAACUUUACGAGGGAUCAAAAUAUUCAAAAUUGUCCUUCUGUAUUCAUCUAUUUCACUUAAAAUGUUUGGGAGGGUGGACCGGAAACUUUUUUACAAUGCUGCUAGAGUUUCUGAGAGAGAUGUUUCCAUUUGCAAAAAUACCCCAAUCUUGUCAAGAUAUGAAGAGACUCAUAAAAGAUUUGGGCCUUGGGUACGAUAAAAUUCAUAGUUGCUUAAAUGACUGCAUGUUGUACUGGGGUGAUCAGAAAAACCAAUAGUCUUGUCAUGUUUGCGGUAAUUCUCAUUAGAUGGAUAGGAAUGAAGAAGAUGUGAAUGUGGAUGAAGGUGAGGCAUAGUUAAGAAAGAAGCCAGUCAAGGUUUUGCGAUAUUUUCCCCUAAUACCAAGACUUCAAAGGCUUUUCAUGUCGUUAAAGACGACCGAAUCUAUGAGGUGGCAUAAUGAUCAACGGACCGAUGAUGGAUUAUGAAGACAUCUUGCGGAUUCUUUAGCUUCGAAAUCAUUUGACAGUAAAUUUCCAAGCUUUACAAGCGAUCCUCGGAAUGUGAGGCUUGGGCUAGCAGCUGACGGCUUUAAUCCAUUUAAAAUCAUGAGUACUUCGUACAGUACUUGGCCUGUAGUGCUUGUUCCUUACAAUUUGCCUCCAUGGAUUUACAUGAAGCAAUCUUCAUUUCUUUUAUCAAUGAUUAUCCCUGGAGAGAAAGGUCCCGGAAAUGAUAUUAACAUCUAUUUGCAGCCACUUAUUGAAAAGUUAAAACAGUUAUGGUCGGGUGUUAAGACAUAUGAUGUACUGAGAAAGGAGAACUUUAAUUUACGUGCAGCAUUGUUGUGGACAAUUAAUGAUUUCCCGGCUUAUGCUAAUUUAUCGGGUUGGAGUACUAAAGGACGUUAUGCUUGUCCUUGUUGUGCUGCACAAACUUGUUUGAAGUGGUUGUACAAUGGGAAGAAGUUCUCUUACGUGGGCCAUCGUCGGUGGUUAGAUGGAAAUCAUAAAUUUAGAUUUCAGAAGACUCUAUUUGACGGUACUGAAGAGUACAGAAGAGCUCCUGAGCAGACCGUUGGAUCUGAAAUCUUGUUUAUGUUAAAUCUUGUUUAGUUAUGGGAAGAUGAAUCAACCACCUAACACACAAACAAAGAGAAGAUCGAGGUAUGAAUCUGAUGAUGAAUCUGACGAAAAGGAUGAUCCUAAUGAGGCGGACUUAUGGAAAAAAAGGAGUUUUUUUUUUAGUUGCCUUAUUGGGAGCACAACAUUUUACGCCAUAAUCUUGAUGUCAUGCAUAUUGAGAAGAAUGUCUGCGAGAACAUAAUUAGGACAAUUUUGAAUGUCGAUGAAAAAUCAAAAGACAAUCUUCAGAGUCGACUUGAUUUAGUUGACAUAAGAAUUCGGCAUGAUCUUCAUCCUCAAGUACUUCUGAAUGGGAAAUAUCGGUCGUCGCCUUCUAUUUUUUCAAUGUCAAAGGAAGAAAAAGAAGUGUUCUGCAUGGUGUUGAAGGAUAUAAAGGUCCCAGAUGCAUAUGCGUCAAAUAUAUCUCGAUGUGUGAAUCUUAAAGAUCGAAAAUUAUAUUCAUUAAAAUCACAUGAUUAUCACUUCUUGAUGCAAGAUUUACUCUCAGUUGCUUUACGUUGCUUUAUGUCAAAAACCGUAACGUCCUGUAUAAUUGAACUAUCCACUAUAUUGAAAGCUAUUUGUGGCAAAGUUUUGGAUGUUGAAGAACUUGAGAAAGUACAGGAUCGAGCGGCUUUGACUUUAUGCAAUUUGGAGAAGAUCAUUCCACCUUCCUUCUUCACUAUUACGGUGCGCUUGGUAAUCCAUCUCCCUCACGAAGCAAUACUUGGUGAACCAAUUUUUUAUCGAUGGAUGUAUCCUAUAGAAAGGUGCUAAUUUAUUUCUCUAGUAUUCAUUCGUUCACCUCUAUACAUUUAGUUACAGCUUUUGAAAAAUAUUGUAUAUCGUGUUUAGGUUCCUAAGAAAAUUGAAGUCGUAUUGUCGCAAUAAGCGUUAUCCAGAAGGAUCAAUUGCUGAAGGCUACUUGGCAAAGGAGUGUAUGACUUUCUGUUCUAGAUAUUUAGAAGAUGUUGAAACACGAUUGAAUAGACCAAGAAGAAAUGCUGGGCUCAAUGAUCAUCACUUGGCCGAAACUUAUUUAUUCCAAAGUUAUGGAGAAGCAAUCGGCAAAGUUGAAAUUGCAUAAUUAGAUGAUAUAUUGUCGAUACAAGCACAUCGAUAUGUACUUUUUCACCACGAUUCAAUUGAACCAUUACGCAAGUAAGUUCUAACAUUUCCUCAGAUAUUCGUCAUUUUGGUUUGUUUAUCUUCUAACCAAUUAAACUUUUUUUUAACGUAGUGAGUACAAACAAAUUUUGAGAUCUCGUGCACGCUCUCGAAGAUUACAACAUCGAGAGAUUAAUAAGUUAUUCACAGAAUCUUUUCAUGAAUGGUUAAGCCAAAUGGUAUGUAACUGAAGUUAAUAAGUUACAUAUAAUUGUGAAAUUUAGUGUAGCACCCCAAACCCGGCCCAGACGUUAUGGCCGGAUCCGACAUGCCACAUCGAAGAAUUCAAAACAUUUUCGAUCCAGAAAGAAAACUUACUAAGUGUUUUAAAAGAUAAUUUCAUUAUAGGUUAAAGUGAAUGGAAGCUGUGCACCAGGUAGGAAACCGGAAAAGAGGAGGUGAGUCCAUCAGACUGCUUAAGUACCAAACUCCCUUCGGAUCCAAUCCUAGACAUGCAAACCGCCAUUGCCAUACCUUAACGUCAUGUAUAUUUCUAGGAAACCGAUUUGAUUAAGUCCAUUUUAGGAAAAGUGAUUAAUUUUAGAAAAUAUCUUCAUUGCGGAAGCUUUGCUUAUUUUCGUGUUAUUUUGAAAUCAAUUACUGUUUUUGAAAACGCGCCCUAAAGCUAUCUAAUUUCAACAUUUAAAAUAUAAAUAUUACCUAUCUUAAUAAAACAUAUAAAAACCAUCAAAAAUAAAUAAGUGGCCUUAUUACAUUUAAAAGCCCAAAACCUCAAACGUAAUUAAAAGGAUGUCCAGUUCACGAGAAGAAAAUCAAACUUUCAGAACGGGUGGCCACUCCGAAUUCCCUCACAGCUCCAAGCCCACUAUGGUUGGGGAUUUCGUGCGUGGAUGAAAAUAAAAGGGGUGAGUUUGGGGAAACUCAGUGUGUAAAGAAAACCCAUUCAAAGCCCAAGUCAGCUCAAGCCUAUUGGGCCUAAGCCCAUUCAGGUAACAGUGGUACUGGACCAGAGCCCUUUUCAGAUUACAAUAAACUGGGCCUUAGCCCCUUAUUCAGAUAACAGUAUGGCCCAUAGGCCCAUUUCAAAAUACAUGCAACAUCAAUAACAUAUGCAAGCCCAUUUAGGGAGACUACUCAACCCACCAACCACUACACUCCACCCGUACCAGCCAUACACUCCAUGUGGGGAUAGCUCAACCCACCCAGCCCAACACUCCACAGUUGCAGCAUUUGUAACAACCCGGUUUGACCCUAAUCGGACAUAGUGGUUUCGGGACCACAAGUCCGAGACAAAAAAAUAUUUUAAUAUUAUUUUGUGUGUUUAUUUUGUGUGCAUUUGAUUGUGUGAAAUUUUCGUGUUUUAAUUUUGUUGUUUGAGUGUCCGAUUAAACAAAAGGAUUAAAUCGCGAAAAAUGAAAAUUUAGGGGUUAAUUAUAAAAGCACCUAAUUGUUGUUGUCUUUUUAAAUGGAAGGAUUUAUGAUGCAAUAAGACCAUAAAGUAGAUAGUGGGUGAUAUAUGACAUAAUUGACCUUAAUAUAUAUGUUAUAAAAAUUUAUUAUAAUAAGGUUAAUUUAGUCAAAUGUUAAAUUAAACAUUAAAAUUAAAAUAAUUGAUGAAAAGAUGAAUGUUUUCAUCUUAACUUAGCCGAAUUCAUGCAAAAGAAAAAAAGAAAGGAAGUCAAGUAUUAUUCGGCCAUUUUAAAGCUUGAUUAAGGUUAGUUCUUUGUUCGGUUUUUGAUAAUUUUUACGUUUUUGAGAUCGUUGCUUCGAAUACUAUCCAACCCAUGUCUUAAUUUUGUGAAUUGAUGAAUAUUUUGAAUUAUGCCAUUGAUGAAUAUUUGUGUUUUGGGAUGUUUGAUGAUGAAUAAUGAAAGAUAUGUCUUAGAUUAACAUGUUUUGUCUUGGGAUUUUUGAUGAAUUUGAGUAUUUAGGGCUAGAUUGUGAAAAUAAAUUUUUGAGGGACUAAAAUGUGAAAUAAAUGAAAUGUAUGGACUUGUAUGAAUACAAGGAAGAUUCGGCCUAACUAUAGUGUUGUGAGAUUUUGUGUAUUUUGUGUUUUAUGCAAUAGGGACUAAAUUGCAAAAAGUGUAAAAUGUCUGGGGCAAAAUGGUAAUUUGCCCAUUUAAGUGUUUUUGGAUAAAAUUGAAUGAUUUGAUGAAUAAAAGGGUUAAAUUUGACUAUGUUUAGAUCAAGGAACGAAGAAAACGAAUUUGGAUCGGGGGAAAUCGAAGGUAAUCGAAUAGUCGAUCGUGUUUGCUGAUAUCCGAGGUAAGUCUAUUAGCAACUAAAAGUUAUUAAGUUAAUAUUUAUACAUGCAUACUAAUUUUAUCUUAUGAUUGAGCUAUAAUUUAAAGUAUAAUAGUUGAAUAAACUUUGGACUAUAGAUAUUGUAUAUAACAUGUUCGAAUAUACAAGUAUGAUCUUGUAUAAAUUAUUGGAUUAAUCAAAGGUAUGUAUAAGAUAUAGGUAUAUAUAUAUAUAUAUGGUUUGAAUGAUUAUAUAUGUGUUGUGUAUUGAAUUUAGUUAUGUCAUUAUAUAAGUAUGCGAGGAUUUAUGUAUAUAUAUAUAUAAAGUCGAAUAAGCAUGCAAAUAUACAUGUAUGUGUUGUGUAUUGAAUUUAGUUAUGUCAUUAUAUAAGUAUGCGAGGAUUGAUUGUGCAUUUAUAUAUGUACAAGUUUUUGUUUUGAAAUUGAGUAUGAAAUUAUACAUUCAUAUGGUAGAUUCGAAUAUGUAUAAAUGCACAUGUAUAAAUUCUUGAAUCGAAAUUUGGUAUGGAAUUAUAUAUGUAUGUGAAAGUUUCGAUUUUGUAUGUAUAUUCACGUAAAAGUUUUUGAAUGGUAGUGAAGAUAUGAAAUUGUUAGUUUGAAUUAUUAUAAAGUGAUUUAAUGUAAUACGGACGUUACGUCUAGCAGGCUUAAUGCCGGUGAAGUAAUUCAGACUUUAAGUCUAGCAGGCUUAAUGCCGGUGAUACAUUUCAGACUUUAAGUCUAGCAGGCUUAAUGCCGGUGAUAUAUUUCAGACUUUAAGUCUAGCAGGCUUAAUGCCGGUGAUAUAUUUCAGACUUUAAGUCUAGCAGGCUUAAUGCCGGUGAUAUAUUUCAGACUUUAAGUCUAGCAGGCUUAAUGCCGGUGAUACAUUUCAGACUAUAUGUCUAGCAGGCUAAGUGCCGGUGUACUGAAUCAGGCUUUAAGCCUAGCAGGCAAAAUGCCGGUGAAUCUGUUUAAAUUGUGUUAGAAUAUGCAAUGGAUAUAUCUAUGAUUUGUGAUUAUAUGAAAUCGAUGAAUACAUAUGUACAUUAGAUAUAUGUGAUUGCUGAAUUUAUAAAUGCAUAUGGUAAUAUGUGGUAGUUAAACAUAUAUAUGUUGAGCCUAUGUGUUUGAUAAUUAAUCAUGUAUGCAUUUGAGAUAUAUAUAUAUGUGUGUAUUUCGAAUGUAUGUGUUACCUAGGUAUUCAGGUAUAAAUUCAUAAUGAGUAUAUUUAUAUACAAACAAAUAUAAGAUGUGAUUGAUGUACAUAUAUUUGUGUUAGAUUUGAAUUGAUUUAGAACUUACCAUGAGUGUAUAUAUACAAUCGGUUUGAUAUGUAUAUAAUAUGUAUAUAUAUAUGCUCGGUGGUAUACAUUCAAUUGUAAUGUUGUUUUGUAUAAUAUAUAUAUUAAACUGAAUUCAUCCGACAGGUAUACAUAUCUGACUAUAAAUGAAAUGGUCUGAGUAGAAUAAUGUAUGAAUGUUAGUUGGUUGUGUUAGUUGAAAUUUCAGUAGAAUAGAUUAAAAAGGUUAUAAUAAUUAUGUGUUUAUAAUUAUACAUUUAGUUAUGCUGGAGACUUACUAAGCUAUAAAAGCUUACUUCGUUUGCUUUCGUUCAUUCGUUUUUAUAGAUUUGGAGACGCGUUACGAGCUCAGGGAUCAUCAGCACAGUCCAUCACACUAUCGACUUCUUUUGGUAUUUUGUUAAAUAUUUGAACUCGAUCUUAUGGCAUGUAUAGGCUUGAUAAUGUUUUGGUUAGUUUUGAAUCCUAUUGUGUAAAUAGCAAUGUGAAAAGAGUUUAGUCUCCAUGCUUGAAUUUGAUUAUAUAUGUUCAUGAAUUGGACUUGCAUUUGGAAUUAGAUAUUAAAGUUAUGUUUAUGUGAGCUUGGUUUCGUAAUGCCUCGUAACCCUGAUUCGGCGACGGAGUCGGGUUAGGGGUGUUACAUUUUAUUGGUAUCAGAGCUAUGGUUUAGUCGAUUCUCGGAACUAGCGUAGCGUGUAUGAGUCUAGCUAUACAUGCCAUAUUUUUAUAUCGAGAUAGUGUGAUGACUGCUGACGUCUAAAAAUGUGUUUUCGUAUAGUAAUGGAUCCCGAACGAGCCGUAGCUGAUGAUGUUGAGAGUAUAGCGCCUGCUCCCGCGCAAGGGACAGAGCCAGUAGAUUCUCGACCAAUCUCGAGUAACCAGGAGGGAGAGGCUAAACAAGCCUUCUACCAAAUGAUGAAUGACUGGUUUACUCAUUAUGUCCGAACUAAUCCGGUUACACAACAACCUCCACCCCCGACUAAUCCAUCUUCGAUUCCUGUUAUACCCCAAGUAAGUGAUCCGAUGAGAUUACUUAAGCCUCCGGUUGACAAAAUUCGAAAACACGGGGCCGAAGAGUUCAGAGCUACUGAUGAUGAUGAUGCUGAGCGAGCUGAAUUCUGGCUUGAUAAUACUAUUCGAGUGUUUGAUGAGUUGUCUUGCACCCCUGAUGAGUGCUUGAAAUGUGCCAUAUCCUUGCUACGGGACACUGCAUAUCACUGGUGGAAUACACUAGUAUCGGUGGUUCCGAAAGAGCGAGUGACCUGGGAAUUCUUUCAGACUGAGUUUCGUAAGAAAUAUAUCAGCCAGAGAUUUAUUGAUCAGAAACGUAAGGAAUUUCUUGAACUGAAACAGGGUCGUAUGACAGUGACAGAAUAUGAACGGAAAUUUGUGAGACUUAGUAGAUAUGCUCGAGAGUGUGUUUCAACUGAAGCUAUCAUGUGUAGAAGAUUUGAAGAUGGGCUGAAUGAAGAUAUUAAACUGUUAGUUGGUAUACUUGAGAUAAAAGAGUUCGUAGUACUUGUUGAACGAGCUUGUAAAGCUGAGGAGCUCGGGAAAGAGAAGAGGAAAGCUGACUAUGAAGCUCGAGAUUCUCGUAAAAGAUCAUUCAGUAAAUCAUUUCAGACGACCUCAAGGAAAUUCAGAGCGGAUCAUAGCCAAUCUAAAGCUACUGCAGGGUUUCCUAAGUAUGAUCGAGAUCGACCCCCUGUGAGUUCACGAGCUACUUCAGUUGCUAGCGUUGGUAGUGUUCGACAAAAUAGAUCAGAGUGCAAGCAUUGUGGGAAAUGGCAUCCUGGGGAUUGCAGAUUCCAUGAUCGGUCUUGCUUCAAGUGUGGUUCAAAAGAUCAUUUCAUUCGAGAGUGUCCGAUGGUAGCUGAGCAAAACACUGUGCAGGAUACCAGACCGAGUAAUGUGCCAGUCCGAGGUAGACCGCCGAGACAAUUGAGUAAUGUAAGUGGUAGUCAGAGAGGAACCAGGGACACAGCAAUUCGAUCUGAGGCCCGUGCACCUGCCAGAGCUUAUGCCAUCCGUGCUCGAGAGGAGGCUUCUUCUCCAGAUGUUAUUACUGGUACUUUCACUCUUUAUGAUACUAAUGUUAUUGCAUUGAUUGAUCCUGGUUCGACUCAUUCUUAUGUGUGUGACUUUAGUAUUCAGUAAGACUUUGCCUGUUGAGUCUACUGAGUUUGUAAUUAAAGUAUCGAACCCCCUGGGCCGGUGUGUUUUGGUUGACAAAGUGUGCAAGAAUUGUCCGUUGAUGAUUCGAGAUUUAUGUUUUCCAGCUGAUUUGAUGUUGUUACCAUUCGACGAGUUCGAUAUAAUUCUGGGUAUGGAUUGGUUAACUCUGCAUGAUGCUAUUGUAAACUGCAAACGGAAAACUAUUGAUCUACGGUGUCAGAAUGAUGAGAUUAUUCGGAUCGAAUCUAAUGAUCUGAAUGGUUUAUCAGCAAUAAUAUCCUCGAUGUCGGCUCAGAAGUAUGUGAGAAGGGGUUGUGAAGCUUACCUUGCAUUUGUUCUUGAUAGUAAAGUGACCGAAAAGAAGAUUGAAUCUGUACCAGUAGUGUGUGAGUAUUCAGACGUGUUUCCCGAAGAAUUACCGGGUUUGCCACCUAUUCGAGAGGUAGAGUUUGGUAUUGAGUUAGUACCAGGGACGACUCCCAUAUCGAUAACUCCGUACCGUAUGGCACCGACCGAAUUAAAACUAUUGAAAGUACAGUUGCAAGAGCUGACUGAUAAAGGUUUUGCACGACCGAGUUUCUCUCCUUGGGGUGCAUCAGUUCUAUUUGUGAGAAAGAAAGACGGAACGAUGAGAAUGUGCAUUGAUUACCGGUAACUCAAUAAAGUGACUAUAAAGAAUAAGUAUCCGUUACCACGGAUUGAUGAUUUGUUCGAUCAGUUGAAAGGGGCUACUGUGUUUUCAAAGAUAGAUCUGAGAUCAGGCUACUAUCAGUUGCGAGUUAAAGACUCUGAUGUGCCAAAGACUGCUUUCCGAACGAGGUACGGACAUUAUGAGUUUCUUGUUAUGCCUUUCGGACUUACUAAUGCACCUGCUAUUUUCAUGGAUUUGAUGAAUCGGAUCUUUAGGAAGUAUCUGGAUCGGUUUGUGGUAGUAUUUAUUGAUGACAUUUUGAUCUACUCUCGAGACGAAAAUGAGCAUGCUGAACAUCUGAGACUUGUGUUACAAACUUUGCGAGAUAAGCAGUUGUAUGCAAAGUUUAGUAAAUGUGAGUUCUGGUUACGUGAAGUCAGUUUUCUGGGCCAUGUUGUAUCAGCAUCGGGUAUUUGGGUUGAUCCGAAUAAAAUUUCAGCUAUACUUGAUUGGAAACCUCUGAGGAAUGUUUCGGAAGUUCGAAGCUUUCUGGGGCUCGCUGGCUAUUAUAGACGUUUUGUGAAAGGGUUCUCUAUGAUUGCGACCCCGAUGACAAGGCUACUACAAAAAGACGUUAAGUUUGAGUGGUCAGAAAAGUGCCAGAAAAGUUUCGAUCAGUUGAAAGCUCUUUUAACCAAAGCUCCAGUCCUAGUUCAACCCGAAUCGGGUAAAGAGUUUGUUAUCUAUAGUGAUGCAUCUUUAAAUGGUUUGGGCUGUGUAUUGAUGCAGGAAGGCAAAGUUGUAGCCUAUGCCUCGAGACAGUUAAAGCCGCAUGAAAAGAACUAUCCGACGCAUGAUCUGGAAUUGGCCGCUAUUGUAUUUGCGUUAAAAAUAUGGCGUCACUAUCUGUUUGGCGAAAGAUGUCAUGUUUAUUCCGAUCAUAAAAGCUUGAAAUAUUUGAUGACUCAGAAAGAUCUGAAUUUGAGACAGCGUCGAUGGUUAGAAUUGUUGAAAGAUUACGAGCUCGUGAUUGACUAUCAUCCGAGAAAGGCUAAUGUUGUUGCUGAUGCCCUAAGUCGAAAAUCACUGUUUGCUUUGCGUGCAAUGAAUGCACAUAUGGUUAUGUCUGAUGAUGGUGCGAUAGUAGCUGAGUUGAAAGCAAAACCGUUAUUUGUUCAACAGAUUUGUGAAGCUCAAAAAGCCGAUGAUGAUUUAAUUGCAAAACGAACUCAGUGUGACUUAAAUGUUGAUUCAGAGUUUCUAGUUGAUACUGAGGAUUGUUUGAGAUUCAGAAACCGAUUAUGUGUUCCGAAAAAUCCAGAGUUAAUUCAGAUGAUUUUGAAUGAAGCCCAUAAUAGUCGAUUUUCUGUUCAUCCGGGUAGCACGAAAAUGUAUAAUGAUCUGAAACAACACUAUUGGUGGCAUGGAAUGAAACGAGACAUUUCUGACUUUGUUUCGAAAUGUUUAAUAUGUCAGCAAGUAAAAGCCGAGCAUCAGGUACCUUCUGGAUUGCUGCAGCCGAUCAUGAUACCUGAAUGGAAAUGGGACAGAGUUACGAUGGAUUUUGUAUCCGGUUUACCGUUAGCACCCAGCAAGAAAGAUGCAAUUUGGGUUGUUGUUGAUAGAUUGACAAAAUCGGCUCACUUUAUUCCGGUUCGUAUUGAUUAUUCGCUUGAUAAACUUGCUGAAUUGUACAUUUCUCAGAUUGUAAAAUUGCACGGAGUGCCUAUUUCUAUUAUUUCGGACAGAGACCCGAGAUUUACAUCGCGGUUUUGGAAGAAAUUACAAGAUGCUUUAGGUACGAAACUACAUUUUAGAACAGCUUUCCAUCCGCAAACAGAUGGUCAAUCGGAGCGAAUUAUACAGAUACUUGAGGACAUGUUGAGAUGUUGCAUUCUCGAGUUUGAAGGUACGUGGGAACGAUAUUUACCUUUGAUUGAAUUUGCUUAUAAUAACAGCUUUCAAUCUAGUAUUAAAAUGGCACCUUAUGAGGCUUUGUACGGUCGUAAAUGUCGUACACCACUGUAUUGGACCGAGCUUAGUGAAAAUAGGAUACACGGGGUUGAUUUGAUUAAAGAGACCGAACAGAAAGUGAAAGUGAUUCGGGACAGCCUGAAACCAGCAUCAGAUCGUCAAAAAUCUUAUGCGGAUUUGAGAAGAAAAGAUAUAGAAUUUCAGAUCGGCAAUAAAGUGUUUUUGAAAGUCUCACCGUGGAAGAAAGUACUCAGAUUCGGUCGUAAAGGCAAAUUGAGUCCAAGAUUCAUUGGACCGUAUGAGAUUAUAGAACGUGUCGGACCGGUUGCUUAUAGAUUGAUGUUACCACCUGAGUUAGAAAAGAUUCACAAUGUAUUUCAUGUUUCGAUGCUCCGUAGAUACCGAUCUGAUCCUUCACAUGUGAUUUGUCCGACGGAGAUUGAAAUUAACCCUAAUAUGUCAUAUGAAGAAGAACCGAUUAGCAUUUUGGCUCGUGAGAUCAAGGAAUUACGAAAUAAGAAAAUUCCGUUAGUUAAAGUAUUGUGGCAUAAACAUGGAGUUGAAGAAGCAACUUGGGAGUCAGAAGAUACAAUGAAAGAGCGUUAUCCAAACCUAUUCACCGGUAAGAUUUUCGAGGACGAAAAUCCCUAAGGGGGGGAGAGUUGUAACAACCCGGUUUGACCCUAAUCGGACAUAGUGGUUUCGGGACCACAAGUCCGAGACAAAAAAAUAUUUUAAUAUUAUUUUGUGUGUUUAUUUUGUGUGCAUUUGAUUGUGUGAAAUUUUCGUGUUUUAAUUUUGUUGUUUGAGUGUCCGAUUAAACAAAAGGAUUAAAUCGCGAAAAAUGAAAAUUUAGGGGUUAAUUAUAAAAGCACCUAAUUGUUGUUGUCUUUUUAAAUGGAAGGAUUUAUGAUGCAAUAAGACCAUAAAGUAGAUAGUGGGUGAUAUAUGACAUAAUUGACCUUAAUAUAUAUGUUAUAAAAAUUUAUUAUAAUAAGGUUAAUUUAGUCAAAUGUUAAAUUAAACAUUAAAAUUAAAAUAAUUGAUGAAAAGAUGAAUGUUUUCAUCUUAACUUAGCCGAAUUCAUGCAAAAGAAAAAAAGAAAGGAAGUCAAGUAUUAUUCGGCCAUUUUAAAGCUUGAUUAAGGUUAGUUCUUUGUUCGGUUUUUGAUAAUUUUUACGUUUUUGAGAUCGUUGCUUCGAAUACUAUCCAACCCAUGUCUUAAUUUUGUGAAUUGAUGAAUAUUUUGAAUUAUGCCAUUGAUGAAUAUUUGUGUUUUGGGAUGUUUGAUGAUGAAUAAUGAAAGAUAUGUCUUAGAUUAACAUGUUUUGUCUUGGGAUUUUUGAUGAAUUUGAGUAUUUAGGGCUAGAUUGUGAAAAUAAAUUUUUGAGGGACUAAAAUGUGAAAUAAAUGAAAUGUAUGGACUUGUAUGAAUACAAGGAAGAUUCGGCCUAACUAUAGUGUUGUGAGAUUUUGUGUAUUUUGUGUUUUAUGCAAUAGGGACUAAAUUGCAAAAAGUGUAAAAUGUCUGGGGCAAAAUGGUAAUUUGCCCAUUUAAGUGUUUUUGGAUAAAAUUGAAUGAUUUGAUGAAUAAAAGGGUUAAAUUUGACUAUGUUUAGAUCAAGGAACGAAGAAAACGAAUUUGGAUCGGGGGAAAUCGAAGGCAAUCGAAUAGUCGAUCGUGUUUGCUGAUAUCCGAGGUAAGUCUAUUAGCAACUAAAAGUUAUUAAGUUAAUAUUUAUACAUGCAUACUAAUUUUAUCUUAUGAUUGAGCUAUAAUUUAAAGUAUAAUAGUUGAAUAAACUUUGGACUAUAGAUAUUGUAUAUAACAUGUUCGAAUAUACAAGUAUGAUCUUGUAUAAAUUAUUGGAUUAAUCAAAGGUAUGUAUAAGAUAUAGGUAUAUAUAUAUAUAUAUAUGGUUUGAAUGAUUAUAUAUGUGUUGUGUAUUGAAUUUAGUUAUGUCAUUAUAUAAGUAUGCGAGGAUUUAUGUAUAUAUAUAUAUAAAGUCGAAUAAGCAUGCAAAUAUACAUGUAUGUGUUGUGUAUUGAAUUUAGUUAUGUCAUUAUAUAAGUAUGCGAGGAUUGAUUGUGCAUUUAUAUAUGUACAAGUUUUUGUUUUGAAAUUGAGUAUGAAAUUAUACAUUCAUAUGGUAGAUUCGAAUAUGUAUAAAUGCACAUGUAUAAAUUCUUGAAUCGAAAUUUGGUAUGGAAUUAUAUAUGUAUGUGAAAGUUUCGAUUUUGUAUGUAUAUUCACGUAAAAGUUUUUGAAUGGUAGUGAAGAUAUGAAAUUGUUAGUUUGAAUUAUUAUAAAGUGAUUUAAUGUAAUACGGACGUUACGUCUAGCAGGCUUAAUGCCGGUGAAGUAAUUCAGACUUUAAGUCUAGCAGGCUUAAUGCCGGUGAUACAUUUCAGACUUUAAGUCUAGCAGGCUUAAUGCCGGUGAUAUAUUUCAGACUUUAAGUCUAGCAGGCUUAAUGCCGGUGAUAUAUUUCAGACUUUAAGUCUAGCAGGCUUAAUGCCGGUGAUAUAUUUCAGACUUUAAGUCUAGCAGGCUUAAUGCCGGUGAUACAUUUCAGACUAUAUGUCUAGCAGGCUAAGUGCCGGUGUACUGAAUCAGGCUUUAAGCCUAGCAGGCAAAAUGCCGGUGAAUCUGUUUAAAUUGUGUUAGAAUAUGCAAUGGAUAUAUCUAUGAUUUGUGAUUAUAUGAAAUCGAUGAAUACAUAUGUACAUUAGAUAUAUGUGAUUGCUGAAUUUAUAAAUGCAUAUGGUAAUAUGUGGUAGUUAAACAUAUAUAUGUUGAGCCUAUGUGUUUGAUAAUUAAUCAUGUAUGCAUUUGAGAUAUAUAUAUAUAUGUGUGUAUUUCGAAUGUAUGUGUUACCUAGGUAUUCAGGUAUAAAUUCAUAAUGAGUAUAUUUAUAUACAAACAAAUAUAAGAUGUGAUUGAUGUACAUAUAUUUGUGUUAGAUUUGAAUUGAUUUAGAACUUACCAUGAGUGUAUAUAUACAAUCGGUUUGAUAUGUAUAUAAUAUGUAUAUAUAUAUGCUCGGUGGUAUACAUUCAAUUGUAAUGUUGUUUUGUAUAAUAUAUAUAUUAAACUGAAUUCAUCCGACAGGUAUACAUAUCUGACUAUAAAUGAAAUGGUCUGAGUAGAAUAAUGUAUGAAUGUUAGUUGGUUGUGUUAGUUGAAAUUUCAGUAGAAUAGAUUAAAAAGGUUAUAAUAAUUAUGUGUUUAUAAUUAUACAUUUAGUUAUGCUGGAGACUUACUAAGCUAUAAAAGCUUACUUCGUUUGCUUUCGUUCAUUCGUUUUUAUAGAUUUGGAGACGCGUUACGAGCUCGGGGAUCAUCAGCACAGUCCAUCACACUAUCGACUUCUUUUGGUAUUUUGUUAAAUAUUUGAACUCGAUCUUAUGGCAUGUAUAGGCUUGAUAAUGUUUUGGUUAGUUUUGAAUCCUAUUGUGUAAAUAGCAAUGUGAAAAGAGUUUAGUCUCCAUGCUUGAAUUUGAUUAUAUAUGUUCAUGAAUUGGACUUGCAUUUGGAAUUAGAUAUUAAAGUUAUGUUUAUGUGAGCUUGGUUUCGUAAUGCCUCGUAACCCUGAUUCGGCGACGGAGUCGGGUUAGGGGUGUUACAGCAUUGCUGCUCAGUUAACAAUAAAUUGAGGCAAAGCCUCCAGUACGUGGACAAGCCACUUUCAGUACUUCCUCCGUCAAUAUCCCAAUCCCAUGCAUCAGAUAAUAACAACAUGGCAUGCAGUAAAUAACAACAGUCAAACAUGCAUUUAAGUCAAUUUAACCCUAGGAGUAUUUCAGUAAUUUAUCUCCUAGGGGUAAAACUGUAAAUUUUCAAUUUUUAAAGGUAUUUCAGUAAUUUAUCUAUUUUAGGGUUUUUAUGCAUAUUCUUACCUUUCACGUACUACAGAAUCACAUACCGAGGGUUCUUAUCGAAUUGGGCCCAUUGGCCCAUCAUUCCAAUUUUGGCCCAUUAAGCCCAAAAAUAUCGAGGCCACAGAAAUCAUGCACUUUGCAGUCCAAACAUUGCAGCUUACCAAAAACAUUAAUUGAUUUACCUCAUGAGCAUUCGCACACUCGCAAAUCUACAAAAUACUGGUUUUCGGCAUUUCGGCUUUUCGACUUUUGCCGAUCUAGACUAAGAAAGAGGGUGUUAGUUACACACCUGUUUGCGACGAUAUGCUGACGAGAUCCACGCACGAACUGCCUACAAUUGGAUUACUAACACAUUAAUCUAACUAUUCAAAUACGAACUAUGUAUUAAUCCCUUACAAUAUUCGACCAACCGCACCUACAGAUCAUAGUAAGCUUAUAAGAAAACAAUAAGCAACUCUUUAACAAAUUUUUGUCAAUGUUUACCACAUAAUCAUAAUUUCACUGCAAGCUGUCUUCCUGAGCAACAGUCACUAAAUUAUUUAUAACUGGAGCUAGGAAACUCCAAAUCAAGUGCCGUUAAUUUUCUCUGAAAAUAGACUCAUAUAUCUUCUAUCCAUAAAAAUUUUAGAAUUUUGGUAUGGCCAAUCAAUACCAGAUUUUUCUUAAAGUUUCCCAUGUUUCACUCUUUGACUAAUCUGACCACACUUCAUUACCAAUCAAAUUUAUCAUUGUACAGAAUUCAAAAUAUGUUCUCAUUUAUUCCAUUUGAAACUAGACUCAUUAAGCUUUAAUUACAUAAUUUAUUCAGCUUCUAAUUCAUCUCCCACAAUUUAUGGUGAUUUUCCAAAGUCAUGUUAUUGCUGUUGUCCCAAGCAGAUUUAUUACCAAAUUCACUCUUUCACACAUAACUUGCAUGCUUGUUAUUUAAACAUGUAUAUCACCAAUCAAUCAUCAUAUAUCUAUGAUUUUACUUAAGUAUAAUCUUCAUUUCAUCAUUUUAAAGCACAACAUGUUAGCCGAUUUUUUUCCCUUAGCAUCUAAGGCACAUGCAUGUUCAUUUGUUUGGCUCAACUUCACCUAUCUUCCAUUUUUCAUCAAAAGAACAUGAAACAACAACCAUUUCCUUCAUUUUAAUUCAUGACUAAAUGCUCACAACACAACUAAAAACCAAAAUAUGCUUCAAGAGUUAAGGUAGAAUCAAGAAGAACUCAUGAACCUCAAAAUAGAAGCAAGGUACCAUGAACUUACCUUCAACUUUCUUCCCCAAGUGACCGAACAUUCAAGAGCUUUCUCCUCUCCUUUCUCUUCUCUAACUUUAGGCUAUGAUGAACAAAGAUGGACAAAACUUUGUUCUUUUCACCCCUUUUUCUUUUAAUAAAAUUUCAUAUUUCAUCCAUUUAAUUCUUUAAUACAAAAGACAUGAAAUGCCCAUCAUGGAACAUUUACCUAAACCAUUAUCAUGGAACAUUUACCUAACCCAUUAUCAUGGAAUAUUUACCUAAUCCAUUAUCAUGGAACAUUUACCUAACCCAUUAUCAAUUUGUACCAUGAAUUAUAGAUAUCAAGUGCUCAUAUUGUCUACAACAACAUGAUGGUUGGCCACUUUAUGUAAAAUGGGAGGUUUGUCGUGUAAAUCCUCCUAUUUUGCACUCCUAUUUAUUUGGCCACUUCAAUUUAGCCUAUAGCAUUUUCAAACAUUUUCACAUAGGUUCUAUUUCAUAAUUUCACUCACAAAUGACAAAAUCAAAGCAUGAAAUUUUGCCAACAUUCACAGAAUUCCCGAAAAUUGGGGCGUUACAACUCUACCCUUCUUAAAGAAAUUUCGUCCUCGAAAUUUACCUGAUCCAACUAGUUGAGGGUAUUGUUGACGCAUAGUCUCUUCUGAUUCCCAAGUAGCUUCUUCCCUUCCAUGAUUACGCCAAAGUACUUUCACUAACGGAACAGAUUUCCUUCUGAGAACCUUAACAUCUCGAGCCAAUAUUUGCACAGGCUCCUCCUCAAAGGUCAAAUCAGUCUAAACUUCAAUUUCUGCAACUGGCACGGCAUGAGCAGGGUCAGCACGAUAACGCCUUAACAUGGAGACGUGAAAAACAUCGUGAAUCCUGUCUAACUCUGGAGGCAAUUCCAACUGAUAAGCCCCUGGGCCUCCUCGCUUCAAAACCCGAUAAGACCCAAUGAACUGCGGACUCAACUUGCCCUUCUUACCGAACCUUAAUAUCUUCUUCCAAGGAGAAACCUUUAAGAAGACCAUAUCACCUACUGAGUACUCAAUCUCCUUACGCUUCAAAUCUGCAUACGACUUUUGCCUAUCAGAUGCUUCUUUUAACCGGUCCCUAAUUAUUCUGACCUUAUCCUCAGUAUCAGCUACCAAAUCUGGUCCAAGAAUUUGUCGCUCUCCUAGUUCGGUCCAACAACUAGGUGUACGACACCUUUGUCCAUACAGUGCUUCAUACGGUGCCAUUCGAAUACUCGCCUGGUAACUGUUAUUGUAUGCAAAUUCUGCCAACGGAAAGUAAUCCUCCCAACUAGCUCGAAAGUCAAUCACUCAUCCCCUCAACAUGUCCUCCAAAAUCUGAAUAACCCUUUCCGAUUGACCAUCAGUCUGGGAUGGAAAGCCGUACUAAAAUUCAAUCGCGUCCCCAACGCCUCAUACAACCUUUGCCAAAACCGAGAUGUAAAUCUGGGAUCCCGAUCAGAAAUAAUUGAAACUGGGACUUCAUGAAGUCGUACAAUCUUUGCCACAUACAGCUUGGCUAACUUUUGAAGUGAAAAGUCAGUACGAACAGGUAUAAAAUGGGUCGAUUUGGUCAACCUAUCCACAAUCACCCACACCGAGUCUUUCUUUGAUGGUGUCAAGGGCAGCCCACUCACAAAGUCCAUGGUUACCCUCUCCCACUUCUAAAGUGGUAUCUUCACUGACUGUAACAGUCCAGAGGGUAAUUGAUGCUCAGCUUUCACUUGCUGGCAUGUCAGACAUUUCCCUACAAACUCUUACUUCUCGUUUAAGUCCAGGCCACCAGUACAAUUCUCGCAAGUCGUGAUACAACUUAUUCCCUCCAGGAUGCAUGGAACAUAGUCCCCCAUGAGCUUCCUUCAAUAUUGUCUGCCUUAAAUCAGAGUCCCUCGGAACACAAAUUCUUCCUCGGAAACACAGAACUCCAUCACCAUUUAAACUGAACUCAGAAGUUUCCUCUUCCUUAACUUAUUGAAAACAAGCAACCAAAGACUCAUCUUCCAACUGCUUUUCCUUAAUCUGGUCCACCCAGGUUGGCCUUACUUGCAAUUCAGCCAACAAACUGCCAUCAUCAUACAGACUCAAACGAGCAAACAUUGCUCUCAGAUCAGAUACGGUUCUAAGACUUAAAGCAUCGGCUACUACAUUAGCCUUGCCUGGGUGAUACUCGAUCGAACAGUCAUAAUCCUUAAGUAACUCAAUCCAUCUCCUUUGCUUAAGGUUCAGCUCCUUCUGAGUCAACAAAUACUUAAGACUCUUAUGGUCAGUGUAUAUAAUACACCUUUCUCCGUACAAGUAAUGUCUCUAAAUCUUAAGUGUAAAUAUCACUACUGCCAACUCUAAAUCAUGAGUCGGAUAGUUCCCUUCAUGAGGCUUAAGCUAUCGUGAUGCAUAUGCAACCACCUUACCCUUUUGCAUUAACACGCAGCCCAAACCCACGUGUGAUGCGUCACUGUACACACUAAAAUCCUUCCCAGACUCCGGCUGAAUUAACACAGGUGCUUCAGUCAGAACUUUCUUCAACUUCUCAAAAGCUUCCUGCUGCUUCUCAGUCCAUACAAACGGUACUCCUUUCCUUAUAAGUUUUGUCAAAGGUGCUGCCAUCACAGAAAAACCUUCCACAAACCUUCUGUAGUAUCCUACCAACCCUAGGAAACUUCGAAUUUUCGACACCGUCCUAGGUGGCUUCCACUCCAAAAUUGCUUCAAUCUUUCGAGGGUCCACCUUAAUUCCUUCGGCAGAGACCACAUGUCCUAAGAAGGUUAUCUCCCUCAACCAAAAUUCACACUUGCUGAACUUCGCAAAGAGUUCCUUCUCCCUUAACACUCGCAACACUAUACGGAGAUGCUCAUCAUGUUUCGCUUCAGUUUCAGAAUAUACCAGGAUAUCAUCAAUGAAGACGACUACGAAUCGAUCCAAGAAUGGUUGGAACACCCGAUUCAUUAGAUCCAUAAAUGCUGCAGGAGCGUUCGUCAGUCCAAAUGGCAUAACCAAAAACUCGUAAUGACCAUACCGAGUCCUGAAUGCCGUCUUAUGGAUAUCCGCCUCCUUGACUCUUAACUGAUGAUAUCCAGAUCAGAGGUCGAUCUUAGAAAAUACAGAAGCCCCUCUAAGCUAGUCAAACAGAUCGUCAAUCCUUGGCAGUGGAUACUUAUUUUUAAUCGUCAGUUUGUUCAACUGGCGAUAAUCAAUGCACAUCCGCAUCGUACCACCCUUCUUUUUCACGAAUAGCACCGGUGCUCCCCAUGGAGACACGCUUGGCCUAAUGAAGCCUUUAUCCAACAACUCUUGAAUUUGAGCCUUUAAAUCCACUAACUCCUUCGGUGCCAUCCUAUACGGUGCGAUAGACACUGGUGCCGUUCCAGGCAAUAAGUUGAUUCCAAACUCCACUUCUCGGUUCGGAGGCAAUCUUGGAAGCUCCUCCGGAAAAACAUCUUGGAACUCCUUUACAGUCCUAACCUUAUCCACUGUCAGUCCCUCCUCUCCCGAGUGACUUACAAAUGCCAAAUAGGCCUCACAACCCUUUCGAAUCCACUUCUCGGCUCUUAAUGCCGACAUCACAUUGGAAAAAUAAUCCCUUCGCUCACCUAUCACCAUAACCUCCUCAUCCUUUGUGUUUCUUAACACCAUUCGUUUAGCAGCACAAUCUAGAGUCGCCCUAUGCUUAACAAGCCAGUCCAUUCCCAGAAUGAGGUCAAACUUUCCAAACGGUAACUCCAUCAGAUAUCCAGGGAAAACCUUGCCUUGAGUUUCUAAGGUACAUCCCUAUAUAGUUUGUCUACCCUAACCGAGUGACCCAAAGGACUUAGUACAGAUACCCCACUCACAAUCUCCUCAGAGCAGUCCAAGUUGUCCAUAAUCUGUUCUGUGGCCUCUAACCAAUAUUCUGCCACAUUCGGGGCUAUACCAGACACGCCCUUAAAGAUCUCCGCUUCGUUAGCCCAAAGUAAAUUUAGAAAUAGAUCCCUGAACUCCAUUACCCGUACUUGCCCCGGCAACCCUCUCCUGAACAAGAAACAUUGCCUGUGACAGGGCAUCAUCCUCAGCACCGCGGUCAUGAGACUCUACCUCUGUUGCUGGUGGUACAGGUGCAUCCACCGCCGACAUAUGUCUCGAAGACGAAGAUCUCGCUCAAGCACUUCCUCGGCUCUGUCCACGGCCUCUUGUACUCAUAUCGUAUUAUCUUGAUUAUGAAUUUUUAUGCAUCAAUUAAUAUUCCAGUGUUUAUUACAGAUGUUUUAUGAAUCAGACAGUAGUUCAGAGUUUGUUUUCACAGAAUUGAAGUCUAGCUACAGUUUCAGUCUCUUAUCAGAUUUUCCUAUGGUUUCAGUAUCAUCCUAUCUAGAGUAUCCUAGCAGGAUUUUAGUACAGACAGAUAAUUCAGGAAAAUAUUCGGAAAAAUUCAGAAUAAUUACCGACUUGAGCCGGAGAUUCGGAAUGCCACCUUCUAAAGAUCUAAAUUUUGAAAAUCGAGUUUUUCGCAUUCUUUAUAAAAUUUUCGUUUUCGAAAAUCUUUGUUUUUGUAAACCCAUUCCACAGCCGAGUUGUUGCAACCUAGGCUCUGAUACCACUAAAUGUAGCACCCCAAACCCGGCCCAGACGUCAUGGCCGGAUCUGACAUGCCACAUCGAAGCAUUCAAAACAUUUUCGAUCCAGAAAGAAAACUUACUGAGUGUUUUAAAAGAUGAUUUCAUUAUAGGUUAAAGUGAAUGGAAGCUGUGCACCAGGUAGGAAACCAGAAAAGAGGAGGUGAGUCCAUCGGACUGCUUAAGUACCAAACUCCCUUCAGAUCCAAUCCUAGACAUGCAAACCACCAUUGCCAUACCUUAAUGUCAUGUAUAUUUACAAGAAACCGAUUUGAUAAAGUCCUUUUUAGGAAAAGUGAUUAAUUUUGGAAAAUAUCUUCAUUGCGGAAGCUUUGCUUGUUUUCGUAUUAUUUUGAAAUCAAUUACUGUUUUUGAAAACGCGCCCUAAAGCUAUCUAAUUUCAACAUUUAAAAUAUAAAUAUUACCUAUCUUAAUAAAACAUAUAAAAACCAUCAAAAAUAAAUAAGCGGCCUUAUUACAUUUAAAAGCCCAAAACCUCAAACGUAAUUAAAAGGAUGUCCAGUUCACGAGAAGAAAAUCAAACUUUCAGAACGGGUGGCCACUCCGAAUUCCCUCACAGCUCCAAGCCCACUAUGGUUGGGGAUUUCGUGCGUGGAUGAAAAUAAAAGGGGUGAGUUUGGGGAAACUCAGUGUGUAAGGAAAACCCAUUCAAAGCCCAAGUCAGCUCAAGCCUAUUGGGCCUAAGCCCAUUCAAGUAACAGUGGUACUGGACCAAAGCCCUUUUCAGAUUACAAUAAACUGGGCCUUAGCCCCUUAUUCAGAUAACAGUAUGGCCCAUAGGCCCAUUUCAAAAUACAUGCAGCAUCAAUAACAUAUGCAAGCCCAUUUGGGGAGACUACUCAACCCACCAACCACUACACUCCACCCGUACCAGCCAUACACUCCAUGUGGGGAUAGCUCAACCCACCCAGCCCAACACUCCACAGUUGCAGCAUUGCUGCUCAGUUAACAGUAAAUUGAGGCAAAGCCUCCAGUACGUGGACAAGCCACUUUCAGUACUUCCUCUGUCAAUAUCCCAAUCCCAUGCAUCAGAUAAUAACAACAUGGCAUGCAGUAAAUAACAACAUUCAAACAUGCAUUUAAGUCAAUUUAACCCUAGGGGUAUUUCGGUAAUUUAUCUCCUAGGGGUAAAAUUAUAAAUUUUUCAUUUUUAAAGGUAUUUCAGUAAUUUAUCUAUUUUAGGAUUUUUCAUGCAUAUUCCUACCUUUCACGUACUACAGAAUCACGUACCGAGGGUUGUUACCGAAUUGGGCCCAUUGGCCCAUCAUUCCAAUUUUGGCCCAUUAAGCCCAAAAAUAUCGAGGGCACAGAAAUCAUGCACUUUGCAGUCCAAACAUUGCAACUUACCAAAAACAUUAAUCGAUUUACCUCACGAGCAUUCACACACUCACAAAUCUACAAAAUACCGAUUUUCGGCAUUUCGACUUUUCGACUUUUGCCGAUCUAGACUAAGAAAAAGGGUGUUAGUUAACACCUGUUUGCGACGAUAUGCUGACGAGAUCCACACACGAACUGUCUACAAUUGGAUUACUAACACAUUAAUCUAACUAUUCAAAUAUGAACUACGUAUUAACCCCUUACAAUAUUCGACCAACCGCACCUACAGAUCAUAGUAAGCUUAUAAGAAAACAAUAAGCAACUCUUUAACAAAUUUUUGUCAAUGUUUACCACAUAAUCAUAAUUUCACUGCAAGCUGUCUUCCUGAGCAACAGUCACUAAAUUAUUUAUAACUGGAGCUAGGAAACUCCAAAUCAAGUGCCGUUAAUUUUUCCUGAAAAUAGACUCAUAUAUCUUCUAUCCUUAAAAUUUUCAGAAUUUUUGGUAUGGCCAAUCAAUACCAGAUUUUUCUUAAAAUUUCUCAUGUUUCACUAUUUGACUAAUCUGACCACACUUCAUUACGAAUCAAAUUUCUCAUUGUACAGAAUUCAAAAUAUGUUCUUGUUUAUUCCAUUUGAAACUAGACUCAUUAAGCUUUAAUUACAUAAUUUAUUCAGCUUCUAAUUCAUCUCCCACAAUUUAUGGUGAUUUUCCAAAGUCACGUUACUGCUGCUGUCCCAAGCAGAUUUAUUACCAAAUUCACUCUUUCACACAUAACUUGCAUGCUUGUUAUUUAAACAUGUAUAUCACCAAUCAAUCAUCAUAUAUCUAUGAUUUUACUUAAGUAUAAUCUCCAUUUCAUCAUUUUAAAGCACAACAUGUUAGCCGAUUUUUCCCCUUAGCAUCUAAGGCACAUGCAUGCUCAUUUGUUUGGCUCAACUUCACCUAUCUUCCAUUUUUCAUCAAAAGAACAUGAAACAACAACCAUUUCCUUCAUUUUAAUUCAUGACUAAAUGCUCACAACACAACUAAAAACCAAAAUAUGCUUCAAGAGUUAAGGUAGAAUCAAGAACUCAUGAACCUCAAAAUAGAAGCAAGGUACCAUGAACUUACCUUCAACUUUCUUCCCCAAGUGACCAAACAUUCAAGAGCUUUCUCCUCUCCUUUCUCUUCUCUAACUUUCGGCUAUGAUGAACAAAGAUGGACAAAACUUUGUUCUUUUCACCCCUUUUUCUUUUAAUAAAAUUUCAUAUUUCAUCCAUUUAAUUCUUGAAUACAAAAGACAUGAAAUGCCCAUCAUGGAACAUUUACCUAAACCAUUAUCAUGGAACAUUUACCUAACCCAUUAUCAUGGAAUAUUUACCUAAUCCAUUAUCAUGGAACAUUUACCUAACACAUUAUCAAUUUGUACCAUGAAUUAUGGAUAUCAAGUGCUCAUAUUGUCUACAACAACAUGAUGGUUGGCCACUUCAUGUAAAAUGGGAGGUUUGUCAUGCAAAUCCUCCUAUUUUGCACUCCUAUUUAUUUGGCCACUUCAAUUUAGCCUAUAGCAUUUUCAAACAUUUUCACAUAUGUUCUAUUUCAUAAUUUCACUCACAAAUGACAAAAUCAAAGCAUGAAAUUUUGCCAACAUUCACAGAAUUCCCGAAAAUUGGGGCGUUACAUUUAGUUAAUUAAAUAAGAAUGUUUUUACAUAAUACAUUUAUAAUUACUCAAUUUACUUUCGAUUCAAUAGGUUUGGAGUGAGAAGGACGUCAAUGACGAAGUUAAAUGGCUUUCCCACGGUCUGAACAGAGUAAUAAAAGGAUAUAGUGCAUUCCUCAUCAAUGGAUACAGAUUUCAUACAAAAUAUCGCGAGAGAAUGAGGAGAACUCAAAAUUGUGGAAUUGUUGUUAAUUCUUCAAUUACAAGUUAUGCUAGUGCUAGGGACAGUAAUCUAGUUGAGGGUAAUGUGGAGUAUUACGGACUUCUUACCGACAUUAUUGAGUUGGAUUACUAUGGCAGAUGGAAAGUUGUCUUAUUUCGGUGUGAUUGGGCUGAUGUUAAUACUGCUCGCGGAAUUAAAAAAGAUCAAUUUAGUUUUACAAUGGUUAAGUUUUCUCGCUUUAUUCACACUGGACAACAAUUGAUGGACGAGCCAUAUGUAUUUUUCUCUCAAGUGAAACAAGUUUUUUAUUCAAAAGAUCCAACUGAUAAGGGUUGGUAUGUUGUACUCCAGAACACCCCUAUAGACUUGUUUGACAUGGGUAAUGGAAGUAGAGAUGACAUCGUCGAAAGAUCAGAAACAUUACCUUUUCCUGAACAAAACUUAGAUGAAAAUAUCCCUAGUACUAGUACACAACAUCAAUGGGUUCGACAUGAUGUAGAUGAGGAUAUUUACGAAUAAUGAUGUAGUAAGAUUUUACGAUUUUUUAAUUAUAUGUAAUAUUAUAAUUUUAAUCUUGGUCAUGUUAUAUAAUUUAACUAUUUUAUAUGUACUAUUAUUGUUGUAAUUUGUUACUAAAAUUUCAACUAUUUUAUGUGUAUUGCAGGAAAAAUGCGUAGAAGAAGAUUACGAGAUUUAAGUAUUGUCCAGAAUACUCAAAAUUCGGAAGAAGCAAAUAGUGAACAGCAAACAGUUGUUGGAUCUUUGAAUGUGCCGGAGACACUUGACGAGCCUGGAGAAUUUCAAAGUAAUGUUAAGUUCAUUUUACAUGUGUUGACUUUUAUUAUUGAUUUAUUUCUCAAUUUUAAUAUAAUAAUAGUAUAUCGUUUCUCAGCUGAAAGAGGUGCGACGCACAGAGGUCGAGGCCGUACGCUGCUUAAAGAUUUAUACAGCUUAGAUCCUGUUAGCGUGUCAAAGUAAGUAGAAACAGUCAUGGUUAGCCUGUUGGAUCUGAAGCUCGACUUUUAGCAGGUUAUUUGGGCAUUUUAACACGAAAUACCAAUAUGUUGCCCAUCAACUACGAAUCAUGGCAUCACAUGCCUGAUAGCAACAAAAAUCAGGCUCUCGCUAAUAUUAAGGUAACAAAAUGUGAAUGUAAUUUAUAAUAAUUUGGUUUAAGUUUCAUUUAUAUUUACAUUCUAAACUUGUGUUUUUUUAGGAGAGAUUUAUUUUAGAGGUAUUUGAUGACCAUAUUAAGAAGGCAUUGGGUAAAAAAUGGAGAGACAAUAAAAGCACUUUGAAAAAACAAUAUUUUAAGAAAGAUAUAAGCCUCGAGGAAAAUGUCCCGCCGGGAAUGCUAAGGUACCAAUGGGAAGAUGCGGUUAGAUUCUGGAAUUCAAAGAAAUGAGAGAUAUUACGUAAUUCCAAACUUUUAUAAAUUUUUCGGUAUAUACUGUUUACUAAAUACGUAAUAAUAAUUUCAUUAUGUAGGACUGUGAGCGAGUUGGAACAAGCAGCAGACAAAAACAAAAAUUCAUGCACAUGGCAGGGUCGAGAAGUUUUGCUUCUGUAGCUGAGGCCGAGGUAUUAUGAAUUUAUUAAUUCUGUCAAAUAUUAAAGACUUUCUACUAUUAAAUAAUAUUUUUACUACUAUAUUGUAGGUAGUUUCGUCCGGUCAAAAAGUUGGACGCCUUCAGCUUUUUGAGAUUACGCAUAGGAAGAAAGAUGGAUCUCCUAUGACAUCUGAAGCUGGAGAAAUUAUGGUAUAUUUAUUUAAUAAAAUUUGAUUUAUUAUAAAUAUUUAUAAUGUUUAAUUAUAAUGGUUUAAUUCAUGUUAAGUUAUGUUGCAUUCCUUUUUAUUAUAUAUUCCAUUUCUAACUAUUUGAUUGAUUUAUUAGGAGAAACUAAAGGAGAAGAAGGCGAAGUAUGAAGCGAUUGCUUCGACUGAUAGUUCUGUUAAUCUUGAUAACAUUGAUAACAGAAUUACCACUGAAGUUUUGGGUCCUGAAAGAUACGGUCGGGUUCGAUUUCAAGGAUCUGGUGUUUCCCCGACCCAAUAUUUUGGAUCCGGCUCCCAGCAAUACAUGCCUUCCGGGAGUCAAGCUCAAGCUGAAGUUUAUAGGUUAAGAGACCAGAUAGCUCAGAUGCAAGUGAACACGGUUGAGCAAAUUGCCGAGGUUCAAAGAAAAUAUGAAGAACUCCAGAAACAACUUGGAGCGGAGGCAGCAGAUAGGGAGGCAGCAGCAGCAGCGAGGGAGGCAAAGGCGAGCAGAAAGUAUGAUGAGCUCCAGCUACAGCUUCAGCAGAUGAUGCAGAUGUUUCAGCAGUCGCAAAAGUCGCCAUCUUAGACAUUAGUGUUCUCGUUGUAAGCAUGUUUUUAACUUUGUCACAUUUAACAUUAUUGUAAAAAUAUUUUAAGUUAUAUUUUAUUUAUUAAUUACAUCAUAUAUCUUUCGUUAAAUUUGAAGUAUCAUUUAGAAUUAAUGUUUUUGGUUGUAUUUUUUAUGCUAAAUUUGCUGUUUUUGGUUCAUUUCAUGCUAUAUUUGUUGAUUUUGGUUGGAUUUAAUGCAUGAAGGGUUGGAUAUUGGUGAAAAAUGUACAUAUGGGAAAAGCAUCGCUAAAAGUUAGGGCUUUUAGCAGCGUUUGUGAUAAAAACGCCACUAAAAGCCCUGACUUUUAACGGCGCUUUUCCAAGAAAUGCUGCUAAAAACCCUGACUUUUAGCGGCGUUUUUAGAGAUAAGCGCUACAAAUUUUUGCGGCGUUUCCUAUAGCAGCCUUUGUUGCGGUGCUUGUGAAAACGUCGCAAAUAGUUUUAGCGGCGCUUAAAGGCUAAAAAAAGGGCCGCUAAAAGUCUAUUUUCUUGUAGUGGUACAAUUAUUAGGUACGUCCUUCAAAGCUAAAGAGAAUACAUACACAUACACACACAAAAAGAAAAAGAAAAACUGUUUGACAUGGCAAAUCCACCUUACAUAUACUUUCUCACUCCAUUGUAAGAACUUGAAGAGAAAUUCCCAAUAAAUAUAAUUAACCUAAAAUAUCUUGAAUUAACCAUUACUUCACUUCCUAUAAAUCUAAAAAUAACAUAAAUUUCUAAACACCAAUAUAAAAUGCCUACAAUAAAUCCAAUUCCAUCGUUACUUAAAAAAAAUACAAUUGACCGUAAGCUAACUUCCUAUGAAACCAAAACCAAUGACUGAGUGAAAUUAACAUAACUUGCUUAAUACCCAGAUGAACAAAUACAAAAUUGAAGAUAAAUAAAGAAACGUAGCACCAAAUGAACUAACAUUUGUAGAGAUCAAAUGAAAAAUAUUCAUUAAGAAAAGGGUUUAUAGGAGGAAAAAUACCCAACCUGGAAUGGGAGAUAAGAAGCUGAAAAUAUAUUAGAGACCCAUAACAAAUUUUGACAAUCAAAGAAUCAAACAAAAAAAAACAAGAAUCAAACAAAAAAAAUAGUUGGUGCCUUUAGUUUCAUAAGCCAAGGAAACAAAUAAAUAUAUCAGAGACCCGUAACAAAUUUUGACAAUCAAAGAUGACUAUGAGAAGAGUUAUGAAGUUUUAUACAGGAAGAGUUAUGAAGUUAUGAGGAAGGAGAAAUAGAAAAUAGGAGAUGAAAUAAAAAAAGAAAACGUACCGGAGAUGAAGAUGAAGGGCGAACGUACUGUUGAUUUGGGGAAAAAUGUUGGAAGAAAUCUGGAGCAAGGGAGAAGAAAGCAGGCUAUUUUGGGAAGAAAUUUUACGCGUGUGGUGUUGAAUAACAAUUCAGAGCCCCCACCCCGGAAUACCUAUUACAGCAUCUGAGGGAAUAUGAUUGUAAUAGCAAAGCUAUGUAAUUAUGUAAACGGUGAACCAAACAGUGUAAUAGCAAAAAAUUACUGUAGCACGCGAAAUUGGGUAGGAAUGGAAUAGCGAUUCCAUCCAACCAAACGUGCUGUAAGUUUCUUUUCUCUUAUUUCUUUCUUCUUCUCCUAAUUUUGUUGCUAGAUUUUAUCAUUCCCUUAUAAACAUUAUUCAGUUUCAAGGGAAUUCUUUAGUUUUCUACACCUAUUUCUUAUUCCCUUUUUAGUUGUUUGGAAUUGUACUAGCGUCAAGGGGGAGGGUCAAGGUUUAUGAGCACCAAAGCCGAAGAGUUCACUGUGGAAACUCAAUGGUUGCAAGUGAUAAUAAACCACAGUUCCAAGACACUUGUACUUCAGCAAUGUCUCCACUAUAUAGUUGCCUAUCCACCUAAGAGGAAAUGGUGAAUUACUUGGUAGCCCAAGGUAUUCGGUUGCCAAAUUUCGUUUCUCACUUCAAAAUCGUCUACGGGUAAAGAUGUCUAAAUGAUUCUAGUAAAGGUCUCAUACUGUCUCUCUAUCUAUUAGAGACUGGCUUCAACCUUCCAUUGCACCCUUCAUUCUUCACAAUCCUUGAUGAGUACAGUAUUGCACCAAGGCAGUUGUAUGGUCUAUCCUGGUGGACUUUGGUGGCGCACUUAUUAAACUGUAGCAUUCAAAAUAAGCCACCCAUGCUUGGCGACUACUAAAACUUCUAUCAUUUGAAGGUCCAAACUCAAGGGCCCUCACUUGGAAUUUUCAGGGUUUGCCAAGGCUAAGAACCUAUUCUCAAGAAUUGGGCUUCAAACCUUCACCUGAACUGCAACAAAUUCAUCUUGGUGAGAAUUAAGCUCCCUAGUGAGUUCGAUUUCCCCACUAAGUGGUCAAUUCCCAAGGAAUCCACUUGCCUCCAAUUUUAACCCUUGUACACAAAGGCUCCUCACAGUUAGGAAUGUCUUUCGCUAAUUUUUAUAGGGAAGAAGCCCAAAUGGUUUGCAGGCAACUGAUCUUUAUCUAGGCAUAAACCCUAGGGUGGUGCAGUCCGCUAAAGAGGUGUGGCCAUUUGGGGCCAACAACGUGUAACGCCCUAAAUUUCUUUAAUUUCGGCUUUUGUAAUUAUUGAGCAUGGAAAUAACUGAACAACUAAGUUUGUGUUAUUUUUGGUUACCUGAUUACCUGAUUCUUUUCAAGUCACGUCCAAGUAAAUUCCUUUCUUGAUUACAUUGCUUAUUUGUUUCGAGCUAUGUUCUCAAUUAAUUCCUUUCUUGUCCAUGGUUAUGAUCUUUUUUCAAGCAUUUUGCAUUGAAAUAACGAUUUUUGGGCUAAUAAUACUUUCAUAAAAGGAGUUUCGCAUAUUACUUUGGGAAGUUUCUAAAUAAUACAGGAGCCUGAAACUGGAUUAUUGUUUAAAACUCACCAAGCUUAAGGGUUGGAAAUAUUUAAGCCCAAAUUGGGAUUAUCUCCUUGGAUUUUCUGUCAAAGAUAUUAAUUGGUGUUAUAAUCCCGGUAAAAAACAAGUAAUGGGGUUAUUCUUGAGAAAAGAAAAAUGGUAUUCUGUAUUCCUACAGAUAUCAGACAUAUAGGUCUGUUCAUUAUACCCAGGGAAUGGUGUAACAGAUCCAAUGAUUGAAGAUGAUGCAAAUCCUAUACCUCUGAGUUGCCACAGGAUGGAUAAAAGAAAUCAAAUGAUUAUUCCCCUGAGGUUGCAGUGGGAAGUUCAAACUUUAUGUCCUAGAAGUUACAGUGUAAUGGACUCUGAAAUUACAGUGGAGCAAGCUUGCUGAACAAAAUGUGAUUGUUUCUUUGGGUCUUCUGCAAAAAAUACCAGCUAAACAAGAUGGCAGCAUAAUAAAUCAGUGAUAGUGCCCUGAUGAACAACAAGUGAUGAUACCUUAAGCAUUUAAAAAAAAAGAGAUCAUUCAAAAAAAGAUCAUUUUUAUUUUUGCAUUCAUAUAUCAUUCAUAACACGUUAGGAGCAUUUGAUUCAUUUCGAUCAUAGCAUCCUAAUUAUUUGACAUCAGCAUCACAUCUAAUUAGGAGUAUUUGAUUCAUUUUGAUCAUAACAUCCUAAUUAUUUGACAUAAGCAUCACAUCUAGUUAGGAGCAUUUGAUUCAUUUCGAUCAUAGCAUCCUAAUUAUUUGACAUCAAUAUCACAUCUAGUUAGGAGUAUUUGAUCAUAGCAUCCUAAUUAUUUGGGCAUAAGCAUGAUACAUGAAACCGAGUCUACAAGACAAGUCCAAGAGGACGGUGUAGUAACAUCGGUGAAGUCAGACUUAUAUCCCUGAAGUUACAAUAGAGUAGGUUGAAGUGACAAGCCUUAUCUCCCUGAAGUUGCAGUGGAGCAGGCUCAAUAUACAAGUCUUAUCUUCCUAAGGUAGCAAGGAAGCAGAUUGAAGGUUGAAGAUCUUAUCUCCCUAAGCAGUAGUAGGGCAGAUCGAAGAUGGCGAAUCUUAUCUCCAUGUAUCGGCAAUGGAGCAGAUUUUAGCCACCAGCCUUAUCUCUCUGAAGUAGCAAGGGAGCAGGUUGGCGAUUGUAGUCUUAUCUUCCUGAGGUAGCAAGGAAGCAGACUGAAGAUUGAAGAUCUUAUCUCCAUGUACCGUAAUGGAGCAGAUUUUAGCCACUGACCUUAUCUCUCUGAGGUAGCAAGAGAGCAGGUUGAAGAUGAUAGUCUUAACUUCCUGACGCAACAAGGAAGCAGACUAAAGAUUGAAGGUCUUAUUUCCCUAAGCAGUAGUGGAAUAAACCAAAGACGACAAAUCUUAUCUCCAUGUACCGGCAAUGGAGCAGAUUUAGGUCACCAGCCUUAUCUCCCUGAAGUUGCAGUGGGGUAGGCUCGAUAUACAAGUCUUAUCUCCCUGAGGUUGCAGUGGAGCAGACUGAAGAUUGAAGGCAAAUCUUAUCUUCAUGUAUCGACAAUGGAGCAGAUUUAAGCCCCAAGCCUUAUCUCUCUGAGGUAACAAGAGAGCAGGUUGAAGAUUGAAGUCUUAUCUUCCUAAGGUAGCAAGGAAGCAGACUGAAGAUUGGAGGAAAAUCUUAUCUCCAUGUAUCGGAAAUGGAGCAGAUUUAAGCCUGAAGCCUUAUCUCUCUGAGGUAGCAAGAGAGCAGGUUAAAGAUUGAGUCUUAUCUUUCUGAGGUAGCAAGAAAGCAGACUAAAGAUUGAAGAUCUUAUCUCCCCUAAGCAAUAGUGGAGCAGAUCGAAGAUGGCGAAUCUUAUCUCCAUGUACUGGCAAUGGAGCAGAUUUUAGCCACUAGCCUUAUCUCUUUGAAGUAGCAAGAGACCAGGUUGGCGAUUUUAGUCUUAUCUUCAUGAGGUACCAAGGAAGUAGACUGAAGAUUGAAGAUCUAUUUCCCUAAAGCAGUUGCGGAGCAGAUUGAUAAUAGCAAAUCUUAUCUCCAUGUAUUGGCAAUGGAACAGAUUUAAGUCACUAGUCCUAUUUGCUUACAGUCAGAAUCCAGCAAAACCGGGCAAAAUUGGCCCUAUUUGAAGUCUUUUCUCUAUUCUCAUUACACGACAAUGAGUAAAGAGGGGCAGCUGUAAUGGCCCAUUUUUUCCCCGGGCCCAUACAAAAAUAAAAAAACAAAAUAAACCAAAAUACAAAAACCAAAAUUAAAGUCCAAUGUCCAUAAUACCCAAGCCCAAAAUCCAAAAUAACAAGACCCAACAAAAUACGGCCCAAAUGACCCAAAAAAAACCCCCAAACCCUAGCUUGCUGCCUAGUGCAGACACCAGCAGCUUUCGCCCAGCCUCCAUGCUCCACAACAGCCUCCACACUCACGAACGGUUUCUCCACGCCAUGCACACCUGCAACAAUCGAAAACCAAAUAGCAAAUGACAGCAAAGAUAACCGAAUUACAGCAAUCAAAUAGAGGAGAAAAAGGGAAAAAUUGUAAAUAUUAUAUUUCAUUUUUGGCUAUAAAAAGCCAUUGUAAAUACUGAUUUUGGGGAUACACAGAUUGAAAAAAAACAAUCAGAAUUGAAAAGGUGAUUCAAGUUUUCAGUUUUUUUUAUUGAGUUUUUCAGAUUUCGUUUUUUUAAUAUUUUUUCUCUUCUCUUCUUUUCUCUCUUAUUUCGCAUGAAGUGAAUAAAGGAAAAGAGUACUUGCCUUUGGCCUUUGAUCACAUCUCUUUUGCACAUGGUCGGCCACCAAGCUUGAUGGUGGUUCAGCGGUGACUUUGAGAGCCCUAACAUUAGGGAUUUGAUUUGCUGUUUGCAAAAAUGGCAAUGCCAUUCAGUUUUUUUUCUUUAAUUUUGAUUGCAAAGAAACAACGCCGUUUCAAGGGGAAAUGUUUGUUUAUUUUCUGCAGAUGGUUAAUUUAUACGAUUAAUCCCUCCCAUUCGCGCUGAUUUUCAAUUGGAUCCUAUUUGUGUUUUAUUUGUUUUUUAAAUUUUUCCUAAAAUCUGUGUGCUAUUUCAAUUCAGCCUGCGUUUAAGCUUUAUCUUUUGGGACCAGGAUUAUUUCCAACUUUAGUCCCUUAGCAUUUACGCGCAUUAUGCAUUAGCCCUCUGUUUAAUUUCAAAAUUUAUAAGUUAUCCCCUUUCAUUUUAAAUUUAUUUCAAUUAGGAUUUUUUCUUAUAUGAUUUAUUAUUUUUGAGGAGACUCAUUUAAUAUAUUUUUUAUGUGUCAGAAUUGUUUUAAUAAUUUUUAUUUUUGUUUAAAUAAAUCUUUGUUUUGAAAUCUUUAUACUAUUUUACAUUACGUAUAGAAUUUGAUUUAAAUAUUCAUGUUGAGCUUUUUAUUUGAAAUGCUUAUUAUUUUAAAAUUCACUUAAUAUUCUUAUAUAUGUGUUAAUUUUAAAAAAAAAGAAAUAAUUUUGUUUUAUUUUUAUUUGUACAAUUAUUUUGGAGUUGAUUUUAUUAUAUUAUUUUUAACAUUUUUUUAUAAUUUUUCGUCUAAAUAUUUCUGGAUAUGUUUGUACAUAUAUUAUUUUAAUGGGCUUUUUUAUUUUAAAAUACUUAUUGUUUUAAAAUUUAUUUAAUUAUCCGUGUAAAGUUACUUGGGAGCUCCAUUUUUUUGUGUUAAUAAAAUUAUUAUUUUGAAAUUCCUCAUUAUGUCAUAUUAUUUUAACAUAUUAUGUAGUAUCUCAUUUUAAGUGUUUUUAUGUAUAACGGUACGUAUAUAAUUUAUAGAUCAACUUAAUUUUAUAUAUAUUAUUAAUCUCAUGCUAUUUUUUACAAACAAUUAUUCCUAAAUCUAUUUAUGUAUGCAUGUUUUUUUAAUCUAUUAUGUGUACUAUACCUUAUCAUGUAUUUUUAUUAUUCUUUCAUAUUUUAUAUAUUAUUUAAGUUAUCAUGUACAUAGUCAAUUUUUGAAUGAAUUUAUGUUUAAAAUAGUUUGCAUAUAAUUCAAUUCAAACUUUUAUUCUAUAAUAUCUAUUUCAAUAAUUAUAUAUCCCUAGUCUUUGUGCAAAUUUGUCAACUUAUCUAUUAUAUAUAUUAUGUAUUCAUUAAUUCAUCAUUAUUUUGAAAAUGUCUUAUACCACAAUUGACUUCUAAUUUCCAUUUUAUUUUGUACAUGUUUUGUGGAUCGUUUCAUAUUGUGCCAUAUUUAUUGUUGUUGUAUAUUAUUUAGUCAUUGUUUUAUCAAUUGUUCUCCAUCCAUUAUUAAGAAUUUGGUUACAUUUCACUUAGAAUAAUUGUACUUAAUUGUUGGAUUUAUUAGUUGUGAUUUAUUGUACUUUAUGUGUGGACAUUAUUUCGUGUUUAUUCAUUUCUUUUUACGAAUGUUUUCUUGUAAUACCUCAAAUGUUCCAUCUCAUUUUAAAACAAAUAAAUGUGUUUUGAGCGAAUUUUUAAUUUUCCUUAUUAUUCAAAAAUUCUGAAAUAAGGCAAUAUCCAAUAUUUGGGAAUUCGAGAAAUCGUGCUCAAUCGUGCUGGGUAUGAUUUUUCCGGUGAACUAAAUAUUUGGAUAACCUUUUUAUAAUUUUAGUGUACGAGUUUUUGAAAGUCAAAAGUCGAUCGUAUUUUUGAAGGUAUAAAGGAUCGUAUCUAAUCGUGCUGGGUAUGAUGCUGCAUAUCUUUGAAAUGAGAGAAUUUUGACAGUUAACUUGAACUAUUCACACAUUUUAAAGAAUCAUGCUUUGAAAGAUCUUUUUUCUUAAAAUCUUUGAUAUAAGGAUAGCAUCGAAUCAAUUUGGUACCAAUUUUUGGGCGUAAUGAGGGUGCUCAUCCUUCCUCAUGCGCAACCGACUCCCAAACCCAUCUGUUUUUGAUUUUAUGUGAACCAAAAUUGUCUUUAAUGGAACAAAACAUUUUAAUAGGUGGCCCAAUCACACCUAAACCGGCAGAUUGGUGGCGACUCCACAUUUUUGUUUUAAAAAGUCAAUUCCCAUUUUUCCUAACUCUAAAAAAGGGUUUCAACACAAUCUAUAAUUCAACUUUUAAACUUUACGCAUUUGAUCCUUAUAUUUUAAUAAUCUUAAUACGUGCAAUUUACUAAUCCAAAAUCCAAUUCGCUACUAGACUAACUUCGUAAAUAUUUAAUAAAAAUAUUCACAAGCUCGUUUUACAAGAACGAAGUCCCGAGCUUCAUUUUUCCAACAUCCUUGAUUAUCGAGUCGUUAUAGUUUCACAUUUUAUUCAACUUAGUCUCUAAACCAAAUUUGCCAUAACUUUCAAAUUUGAGCCUCGAUUUUGAAAAUGAUAUCAAUUAUAUCUUUCUAUAACCUUCAAUAAUAUAUAAUUAUAGAAAUUUAACAUUAAUUUUGAAAUUUAUGUAGUUCAGUCCUUAUGUUUAAAAACUAGCAAUUAAACUUUACAAACUAGUCCUUUUUCAUUUCAAAAGUUAAAAUCUAACAAUUUAGUACAAAAAAUUCAAGAAAUCAAUAAUGGCAAAUUUUGAAAACUUUAACAUUUUUGCAAAUUGGUAAACGAGUGAUCUAAAUCAAGCUUUCGAGGACCUCAAAAACAUAAAAAUUACAACAAAUGAGCUUGAAAUCACAUACCAAUUGAAGGAUUAAAGUUUGGAAGCUUUGAAACCCUUUUCUCCUUUGUUCAUACGGUGAAGAAGAUGAAGAUGAGAAAAACUGUUUUGAUUUUCUUUUUAAUUUACCUUUUAAACUUAGUUUAAAAUUAAUAGACUUAAUUAAUUUAGUUUAAACCUUAAUUAACUUAAUACUAAUCAUCAGUGUAAUAGGCCAAUAAAAACAAAAAAACCAAACCAAAUCAAUAAAAGUCCAAAAUUUGCAGUCCAUGUUUUACAAAUACCAGAGCCCAAUUUACAACAUGCAUAGCCCAAAUCAAAACUACCCAAACCCAAUUAAAACCCAAUUACAAAGCCCAAAACAAAUCAACCAUAGCCCACUCUUAACAUUUUCAGAGAGCAAAAGAACCCUAGCCACCUCUGCCUUCAGCUGCCACUCCGCCCCAUGCACGCCGCACGUCAGCAGGUCUUUUCCCUCACGCUAUCGCCGGCCUUCAUGCGUAUCUGACCCCUCUGACACCUGCAAAGAAGAAUCCUCACGCAAACAGUAUCAGGCAACAAGCAAAAGACAAAAACGGAUCUGUGUAACUCGGCUAUAAAAGCCGAAAUAAAUCCCUUUGUAAUUUUUUACACACACUAGUAAUUCAAAAAAGCAAAACAGAAGUUUGAAAAGAUUGAUUUUGAUUUUCUUUACUUUUUUUCUUUUUGUUUUCUAGUUUCUUUUUAUUUUUUAUUAUGAAUCUAUUUAAUAAAAAAAGGGGCGUAAAAUAAGAAGAGGAUGAAGGGAAAACUUACCUAGAAUCCUUCGUGGUUGUGUCGUCUGAGUCCCUCUCUCCGUCCCUGAAAGCGAACCCAAAAGGGGGAAGAGAGAGACAUUUUUCUCUCGAUCCGUAGGCUAAGAAGGCUUAGCCUUCAAACAUGUAACAGGGCUGAAAAGCCCGUUCUGUGCCGCUCCGACCACCGUCCACGGCAGAGGAGCGGCGGGCUGGCAACAGUGCCCCAAGGCUAGGUCAAAACCCUAGCAGAGAAAAGGGGGAGGGGUUUAAAAGUUUUAUUUAAAAAAAAAAGAGUAACAGAAUGAAUUUUUAAGAAAAAAAUUGGUUUUUAUACAGCAAUGAAACGGUGCCGUUUAGCACCAAGGUCAUCAGCACCAAAACAGCGCCGUUUAGGGUGACUCUCGUGUGACCCGACCCAUUCCAGGGGGAUCCGCGCGUUUUUGCUAAAUGGGCUAUUUACGCCCAUAGUCCCUCCACAUUUUUUAUUCAUUUUAAUUUAGUCCUUUUGUUUUUUUAUUUAUUAAAUUUAACCCCAGAAUUUGCUGCGCUUUUCAAAUCAGUCCCAAGCUCGCUGAUCCUCUGGGGAAGGGACCUCGUGUCUAGGGAUGGUUUUUUUGCCCACUUAGUCCUCUUCCCUUUCGCGCCCUUUCAUUUUGGUCCCUCUUUGUUUUUUUAUUAUAGUUUUGACUUUUAAUUUUAUUUUUGUCCUAAUUUAGUCCUAAAUCUGUUUGAUUUCAAUUUGUUUUCGUAAAUUUAUUAUUUAUUCGUUUUAAACCUUUCUUUCCUCAUAUAUUAUAUAUCCUAAAUUGUUUUAUUACUAUUUAUUUUAAGUUUUUCACAUAUUAUGUAUUUUAAACUAUUAUCCAUUUUAAAUUUAUAUAUAUUAUUUAUUUUAAAAUAUUAUAUAUUAUUUAUUUUGAAUUUCUUUUUUAUAUAUCUUUUAUUUUUAAACUGCUUUGUAUAUUAUUUAUUUUAAAUUUCUUUUUACCUAUUAUAUAUCUUAAACUCUUUCAUAUUUCAUAUGUUGUUUAAAAGGAUCUUAUAUAUUAUUUAUUUGAAAUUUCUUUGUAUAUUAUUUAUUGUAAUUUGUUUUACAUAUUAUUUAUUUUAAAUUGUUUUAUAUUAUUUACUUCGAAUUUUUUUAUAACUUAUUUUGUUUCAUUUUCUUCGUUUGUAAUAUUGGUAUUUAAACGGUGUAUUACAUGAAUAUUGCCAUAAUAUGCUCUAGAAAUUUUUAUUUAAUAUCUUCAUAUUGUUGACAUUCAUUAACAUAGCAUUUAAUUCAUGUAUUAUUAUUCCAUGCUCCAUAUUGCCUUUUUAUUUUAUUUCGUUUGAAUUACAUCGUGUAUUAAGAUCCAAUAUGUUUAUCAAAUAUAGAUCGUUCUAUUUUACUCCAAACAAAAUAAAUGCACAUCGAUUAAGUAUUGUAUUGUUAUUAUUCAAAGAAGGAAAAACUUUAAAACAAGGCAAUAUUUCGCAUUUUGGAGAUUCGAGAAAUUGUACCUUAACUUACGAGGUUUCAAUUUUCUUGUUAAACCUAAAUAGCCAAAUAUCCUUUUAGAUUUCAAAACAAACUUGUUCCCAAGGGUUCAAAUGUUGCAUCCUAACUUACGGGAUGUCGCAUAUUGUAUCGCGGGAUGAGUAGGCUUUGAUGCUCGUUUCAAUUUAAUUCAAGCAUUUUUAAAAUGAACGUUAAUAAAAAGGGAUCGUGUUUCUAAUUCUUUCCAAACUUUCAACAUUCGACAUUAAGACAUUAAUCAAUCGAUUAGGUGCCAAUUUUGGGCAUUACGAGGGUGCUAAUCCUUCCUCAUACGUACCCGACUCCCGAACCUAUUUUUCUCUGAUUUCAUAAACCAAAAUCAUUAUUUUAAUAAAUCAAAAUAUUUUAUUAAAUUGACCAAAUUACUAGGUGAUCCGAUCACACCUCAAAAAAUUGGUGGCGACUCCAUUUUCGUUUUUAAAUAACUCGACAUCCAUUCUUUUCAAAAAAAAAUGGUUUCGACAAUCGUUAAGCAAAUAUAAGUGGAAGAUGGCAUAAUCUUCCACUAUUCACUAAUAGAAAUUAGCCUAAUUGCUUAAUUGGUCCUUCGAUUAAAAAAAUCUAUAGCGAUUAACUAUUAAAAUUUUUAUGAUUUAAUCCUUAUACCUUAAUUAACUAUCCAAUUGACAAAAUUAAAAGUCAAAACUUUAAUUAAACUUUUUACUAACCUCAUAAAUAUUAAAUAAUAAUAAUUAUGGGCUCAAAUAUCAGAAAUGAGUAUACAACAAAAUAUUGCAGAUGAAAUCUGCCAAUGGUCAUGUAAGCACAAAAUGCUCGCAAAUGAUAAAUGUCAAAGGGUUGUGAAUACAAAACAAAACAUCACAGGUGGAAUCUAUUAUGGCUGUGGAUACACAACAAAAAUAAAUGUAGAUAUACUGCCAAUACUUCCUCCGAUCAUAUCAUCCCAUCCCAUGCAAUGCAAUGUAGCACAUUUAAUACAAAUCACAUUUGGUAGCAUUUAAUGUACUGUUAUGGAAAAUCAGUAACAAAAUCUUGUUUUUCAUGUAUUCAGAUUAGCAACCAUAUAGGGCAUGACAUUCAUACGAUCGCAAGGAUAUAUAUACAAUAGUAACAUAUACUGUUCAUAAUUCAUAUAAAUAUAUCUGCAAAAUACAUACCACAUUAAUUCAAUCAAUAAGGGAACCUAACAUAUUUCAUUUUAUCAAGGACCUAAUUGCAUUAUUUAAUUCAUUAAAACUAGUUCAGAACUUAUUCAUGGACUAAUCUAAUCAAAUCAUAAAAUUCUGGGUCAAAAUCAUAAAAUCUAAAAAAAUAGAGGCAAAACUGUAAAAUCUGAAAAAUAGUGGCAAAACUAUAAAAUCUAAAAAACAGUGGCAAAACUAUAAAAUAUGAAAAACAGGGGACACAAGCCCGUGUGACCGGACUGUGUAGAGGGGGUUCCACGGCCAUGUGACAGACUAUGACCGUGUCAUAUUUGCAAAAUUAACCUACAGGGAAGACACGACGGUGUGAGAAGAGAAAAUCCUAGGAUUUCAGGGGGACAUGGUCGUGUAAGGUGGUGAUGUGGUCUAUCCUAGGCUUGAUUUUGCCUUUAUUUUCUUGUAAAAGAACACACACAUGACUAUGAGAUCUCGAAUGCCGUUCCUUGUGCUUAGAUCUAGUCCGAGGUGCCUAAAUUGAGUCCGCUUCUUGGCAAAAAUUAAGAAUGUUUCUAGUGUUGAUUAUGAAUCUGAUUGAAAAACGACUUGAAUUAGGAAUAGAUUUUGAUUUGGGAAGAAAAAAUAUUUUUCAAUAAUGGAUUAAAAUUAUGAUGUAAAGGGAGGAAAAGAAAAGAAAGAGGGAUUAAAAAGAAAAGAUGGAAGCAAAAUUCUAAGGGGGUUUGAAAAAGGCUAAUUGAAAUUCUAAUUAGGAAAAGAAGAUAAAAAGAUGGUGGAAUUCUAGUUCUAUUGGAAUUUUGAGGAAUGAGCAAAUUGUGGAUUCUAAUUAGGAAGGAAUUGAGUCAAUUAAUGCGGGUUUGUAAACCCUAGGGGCGUCACCUGCAAUUUUCCCAAGAUUUUUCCAAAAUUUGAAAUUAAAAAAAAAAGGGAAAAGAGGAAGAGGCUUAAACCUUGUUCACUUAAGGGGGCUAACGCCUUACCAUUAAACAUGUUACUCAUUCUUGCUUAAUUUUUUACACUUAAUUUUAAGUAUUUUAAUAUUUGGAGUGUCUUUGUGAAAUUAUGACAUAAAAGUGGAAGAAGGGGUUCAAACUUGGGUCAAUUAGGAAGGAAAUUAGCAUGCUAACCAUUAGACCUAGACCUAUAUCUUAUUCAAUUUUUACCUCAAUUCAUAUUUGUUUUAGUGUGACUUUUAUCUUAGGCUGCUAAAAAUAAAUGAGAGAACGAAGCUUGAACCUAGGAUCUAUAAAAUAGGUAAACACUUAACCACCAAGCCUAAGGCUCAUUUCUUAAUUUUAUUUCUUAAUUGUAUAUAUUUAUUUCGGACUCAACUUACUUAUUUUUUUAUUUGCUUAUACAUUUACUUAAAAAUUUUAUUAACUUAUUUAACUUUAUAUUUUUUUAACACAUUCCUAUUUUAGUUUAUAUACAAUAAUUAAUACUCAUAGUCAAGUCUCAUUAUUAAUUAAUACUCAUAGCGCUUAAACUUGUGUUUUUUUUGUCAAAUCACCCAAAAAUAGAUGAAAAAAUUAAUUUUUUUAACUUUAUUGAUGUGGUAUACACGUAGAUGACACGUCAACAUUUAAUUAAUAUUUUUAAAUUUAAAAAAAACAAAAAAAUUAUGAAAAUUAUUUUUAAAAAUAAAAAAUCAUUAAAGUUAUUUAAAAAUGAUAAAAAUAUAUAUAAAUAUUUUAAUAAUUAAUUAAAUGCUGGCAUGUUAUCCAUGUGGUAAUCCAUUUUUGGAUGAUUUGACAAAAAAAAAGAUAAAUUCAAAAAACUAAAAGAAAAAAAAUAAAUGAAAGGUUAAAUUUUUUUUUUAUAAAAUUAAAAGGUCAAAAAAAAAUUUAUGUCAUCUUAAAAUAUACUAUAUUUUUCUUCAAAUAAAUCGAAACUGAUAGACCUAGCCUACUUGUGAUGCAUGCUUAUACGAGAUCUUGAUUGGGAACAAUUUGUAUGCCAUAGAAACAAACAAGCAAUACAUAAAUUAAGGAAAAACAAAGAGGUUGUUUAAUUGAUAUUGGAAUUUAGGGUUUAUUUCUAUAACAAAGCUGUUGUGUAGUCUCAAGGUGACAAUCGCAUACGUUUAAGGCCUACCAACCAGAAAAUGAGAAGGGGAAAAAAGAAAAUCCCAAACAUGACUAUUAUUCCAACCCAAUUGUCAAAGAGACCCCUAAAAUUAAUCUAAAAAUUACCAAACUUUUAGUAUUUCUAAUUUAGUGUCUGGUUGUUGGUGUAUUUUUUUGGUACAUUAUUAUUGUUAUUAAUUGACUGACUAUCAACACUACUAACUAAAUAAUUCUUGGACUAUUUCUUGAUAAUUGAUGAGGCCAAAUCUUAAUUUUAAUUAAAUGGUUUUUUAUAUUUAUUUUUUGGAUAAUUGGGUAGGAAUGAAGUUGUUAAGAAUUAAAUUUAAAUGUUAUACAAUACAACAAAAUAAAUUUGCCAAGAAGAAUUUAUCUAAGGAUUUGAUAAAUAUUUAAGUACUGGAGAUUUGGUUUUACUGGUGAAGAAUAUAUCUAUUCUUAAAUGCUAGAAAAAAAGAGUAAUGGGGUGUUCGGUUGAAAUCAUAGAGGGUGAUUUUACAUUCCAUUUUAACAUUCUCACAUUUUGUUCGUAAAGAUUAUUUUACAUUUCUAUUAAUAUAGAUGAUAAUCUUAAUUCUAGUUCUUUCUUAGGUAAGGUAAGAUUUUGAGGCUAAUCUUCGACAUUUUUACUUUUUAUUUAUUUAUUUACAAUUUUCAUUAAUAUUAACCCUUCUUUCGAAUUUUCUAUAUAUUACGUAAAUAUAUUACAUAUACAAUUUAAUUUUUUUAUAAUAUAAUAAUUUAACUUAUUAUAUUAAUAUAAAAGAUAUAAGACUAUCGGUUAAUAUAUGUUUUUUUAAAUAAAAUAUCAAUUAUCAUAUUUGAUAUAAAUAGUAUUUUAACCAAAUUUAAAAAUAAUCUAAAAAUAUAUUUUAACUAAGAGGAUGUGGGGUCAAGCUAGACCUAUCCAUGAGCUAGGUCAUUCAGUUCGACCCAAAGGUCUGCCUGAAAAGUGAGAGGGUUUGAGCAAAAAUAGAGGCUCAAAAAAUAUAUUUGGGCAAAAAACUAAGGUCUGUUUCCGGGCAUCGAGUAAGGUUUUUUUGGCCUGAGCCCGGCCUAAAUUUGCAAAAAGAAAAAAAACAUUCUUGUUUUCUUGCUGUUUUCUCACAGUUUUGUUCCUAUUUCACUAUUAUGUUGUUAUUGUUUAGAUAUUGUAUAACUCUUAUUUUAUUAUUAAUUUUCUUACUAUUUUAGAGGCAUUUGCUUAUUAAGUUACAUCUAUAUAGUGUUAUUUAAGUAUAAAGAUUUUUAAAAUUUAUUUCCAAUUUGUUGGGAAACAUUUAUUUUAAUGCUUUUAGUAUUUUUUAUGUAUUAUAUUUUAAAUAUAUAUAUAAAAAUUUAAUACGAACGGAUCGGACUCGGGUUUUAACAUUUUUAUUUGAGCUGAGAUUGGGCAAAAUUUUAAGCCCAUUUUCAGGCUAGACUAGGUUUGGGCCUAUCAAACGGGCCUAAAAUUUUGUCAAAUCCUGACACGACCCAGCCUGGCCCAUAAAUAAGUCUAGAAGUAAGCUUUGUAUAAGAAAAAAAAUGUAGUAAUGGAAUAAAAGGAAUCGAAAUUGGCAUAUUCAAAUAAUGAAAAAUAUCAUAUGUAUGAUAUAAUAAUACAAUGUUAAUGGUAAGAUUUAAGUUUCUGUAACAAAAAUGAGAGCAUAAAGUUUUAGAGUUCAUUGAAAGAGUUUCACAAAAUUUCGAUUUUGUAAUGUUUCAAUCACUUGUUGAUUAAUGCCCUGUUAACCACAUGAUAAAACGAUGACGUGAGACAAUUUGUAUAGAUUCAAUACCUAAAUUUGCCCAUGAACUAUAGAUUAUAUUAGUUUUUUUUUUAGAAAUUCUCAAGGAUAAUUCCAAAAAAAUCCAAAGAAAAUAACAGAAAAUUCUAAAAAAAAAGGUUGAUGUAACACCCCUAACCCGUAUUUGUCGCCGGAACAGGAUUACAGAGUACUACCAGAGUUUUCAGAUCAAAUGAACACAUAAUUAUAAACAUUUCAAAUCAUAUCAAUAUUCAUAUUAAAAUCAAGUAAAAACAUACAUAUUAUCCCUUAAAUGAGCCCUCGAGGCCCAAUAUACGCGUUAGAAACAAGUCUGGACUAAAUCAGAAACUCAGAAAAAUUUUUAAAAAUUAGUGAAAAUUUUCAACACUGCAGGGAUCACACAACCGUAUGGCCAGACCGUGUGACUCACACGACCAGGAGACACGCCUGUGUCUCAGGCCGUGUGGGCAUUUAAAGUAGGGACACACAGCCGUAUCCCAGCCCGUGUCCGUGCCCGUGCCCGUGUAACUCAUUGACUUGGUCACACGACCAAGCCACACACUCGUGUGCUAGGCCGUGUACCCUUUGAAAUAACCUCACACGCCCAUGUGUCAGGCCAUGUGCUAGGUCGUAUAACAGCUUGACUUGCAACCCUUCGAAAGCUACAGGGGACAUACAGCUGUGUCGCCUGGCUGUGUGUAACACACGGCUGAGACACACGCUUGUGUCUCUGCCCGUGUGAACAAAAAUAGGCCAUUUUACAAGCCAUUUUUCUCGGCCAAUUUAACAUGAACCUACAACCACAAAUGCACAUAUACACAGGCCAUAAUAAGGCACCAAAACCAUGCAUAAUCUAGCCAUAUAUAAAUGGUAUGAUCACAUACAACCAAUAUGCCCUUAGGCACCUCAAAUGACAAUAUAAAACAUGAAACUUACUUACCAAAAUAUACAAAAUGGUACUAACCAUGUCAUUCAACCAUUAACAUCUAAAACCAUAUAAACCAUUCAAACAAAGUGCCAAUUCACAAUAAUUUCAACAAUUUACAAAACUUAUACAAUAUGUAUAUUCAAACCUUAAUUUCAUCUUCCAUAAUUCAAACAUAUCAAUCCAAACAUCAACCAUUAGAAAUCUAAUAUUUACAUGCCAUAUACUAAACUCAUAUCAUAAUCAAAGUGCUAAAACACAAACCAAUCAAAUGGCUAUUUAACAACCAAAAUAUAUGGCCACAUUAGCCAAAAUACCUAUACAUGUCAUUAUAACAAAAAUUAAAUAACCGAAUCUACCAAAAGAGUCAAUAGAUAGUGUGAUUUAUCUCCGACAAGCUUCCAACUUGAACGAGCUUUCGAUUCAAUAUAAGACACGGAGAAUAACACAGAGUAAGCAUUUAAGCUCAGUAAGUUUGUAUAAAAUAGAAUAUAACUUGCCAUUUAGGCAUAUAAUAAGUAAGUAAAUAAAGCAUAUUCCAACACAAUUUGGCCAAAUUCCUAAGCACAAAUUCACCAACCAUGUUAGCCAUGUAAACAUAUAUAUAAGCCAAUAAACAUGGAUGAACACAACAAUUGAUCAAGUUCCAUAUACAUGUAUCAUCCAUUUCAUGUUUCCAUAUACCAUGUAACAACAUUUCCAUGUAAUUCAUGUGUAUACUUGAAUAGUUUGUAUCGAACUCUUAUCAUUUCGUCAGAACAUCACCCAUUGAACCAUUUAGAAUAUCGUUGGAUACCCCGAAUAGCUCGCACAUAGUGUCCUAAACCAUAUAACUAUAAUCCAUCAAAUCUUGUACAUGUAUGCUCACACGAGCUGUAAAUAUGUAUACUCUUAUGAGCUAUGGGUCGAAACGUAGCUACAUGAUGCUACUCACAUGAGAUGUGGAGUAUCCGCAACACAUGUCAGACCUUAGCCAUUGGUAGGACAUCUAGGACCAACACACGAAUCAUGUAAACCCUAAUGACAUGUCAUUUGUAUCCUACAAAUUCCUAAGGUUCAAAUGGGGCUUGGUAAUCGUCUAACGUCGUUGGAUAUACAAUUUUUAUUUAUAUAACAUUUCAUAACACAUGUAUAGUUCAAUUAAAAACAUAUAAACAUGAUUUAAUUACACGAACUUAUCUCGAUGAGUAUACGUAUAUACGGAGGCGAUUAAUCUGAGAUUUUCUCUUUGUCCCGAUCUAACGUUGUACGAGGUCUGUCUUGAUCUAUACAGAUAAAUUUAACUCAAUUCAAUAUAAAUUUCAUUCAAUUUAGCCCAAAAUCAUAUUUUGAAAAAUCACCAUUUUCCCCUAUACUUUUAAUUUCUUUGCAAUUUAGUCCUUAGCUCAUAAAAAUGGAAAUUCAUGAAAUUCUACCACAACCGACUAUGGCCGAAUAUUAAUUGGGUCCCUAGCAUGCCCUAUAUUUCAUUUAUUUCACAAUUUCACCAUGUAAUAUUUUCUAAUUUUUAUUUUAGUCCCUAUUUGACAAUUUCACUAAAAAUCCUUUACAAAUGUUGUUUAUCUAACAAUAACCAUCCAUUUUCUAUCAUCAAACAUCAAACUCAUGUACAUGCAUCAAUGGGAAAACCUUAAUAGUUUAACAGUUUCACAAAUUAGUCCCCGGGCUUGCUAGAUUAAGCUACAACAAUCCCAAAAACAUAGAAAUCAUUAAAAACAGGACAAAAAUACAUACCUAAUUAAGGAAAUAAGGAUGGCCGAAUAUAGCUUCAACAAUGGCUACUCUUUUCUUCUAUUUUUGGUUGAAAGAUGAAAGUAAAAUAUGGUGUUUUGUUUUUAUUUUAUUUAAUUUAUCAAUUAUUUACUUUUUACUAAUUUAACCUUAAAAUCUUUAUUAAUUACACAAAUGCCAAACCAUGUAUAUCCACUAUCAACUUAAAUGGUCUAAUUACCAUAUAAGGACUUCCAUUUUAAAGUUCUAUAGUUAUUUAAUACCUUUAGUAUUAGAACUCAACUUUUGCACUUUACACGAUUUAGUCCUUUUUAUCAAAUUGAACAUGUAAACGGUAAAAUUUCUUAAUGAAACUUUUCUAUAGUACUUCUAUCAUGCUGUAGGAAAUAAAAUAAUAAUAAAAUAAAUUUUUUAACUUCAGAUUUGUGGUCCCGAAAUCGCAGUUUUGAUUUCACUAAAAAUGGGCUGUCACAGUUGAAAUGUAUUUAACCCUUGUACUUGUAUUUCUCCAACUUAAACUUGUUAAAGAUUCUAAGUUGUUUAAGAUGUCUCAUAGAGCUUCUUGACCUAACCAUAUUGUGAUGAUUCUUUAAGAGCUUUCGGAAAAAUUAUAUUAAAUACUUACAAUCAAAUUUCCUUUUAGCUACUAGGAUGCAGGAAAUCAUUGUCUAAUGUUUCACUUUUUGCAGCUUUAGAAGGUAAAAAUCUAACCUUGCUAAUAGUGAGUUUAAAUUUUUUAGAACCAAUUGAUUUAAGUUUAAAAGAUGUUUUUUUAUUUCUUAGAGAAAAAAAUAAAAUUUAUGAUUCAUCCUAUAUAUUUAUCUUUCCUUCAAGUAGGUAGUUUUAUUUUCCUCCUUUUAUAUUGAAAGAUGUAAUGAAGUAAUUGCUAAUGCAUUUUUCACUUGAGAGGUGGUGGAACUUUUUUAACUUUUUAUUCUGAGCAUAUGCUUGACAAUUGCAUUUUUUGUGAGCAUUUGUUGGUUAUCUACAAUUUUCUUAUUUUUAGGGUAUAUGGUAUCUGCAGAGGGUAUCCAUGUAGAUCCAAAAAACAAAAAAAAAUAAAGGCUAUUCUGAAAUGGAAACAACCUAAAAAUGUUUCCAAAAUUAGAAGUUUCCUUGGUUUAGCCGGAUAUUAUAGGAGAUUUGUUGAAUGAUUCUUUCUUAUUACUGCUCAUGUAACUAAGUUAUUGAGGAAGAAUGUUCUAAUCAAAUAGUCCGAUGAUCAACAAGCUAGCUUUGAAAAGCUAAAAUCAAUGAUGAUACAAGCUCUCAUGUUAAUUCAACCAGAGUCGAGAAAGAAGUAUGUGGUAUAUAGAGAUGCAUCUUACACUGACAUUGGAUGUUUAUUGAUGCAAGACAAAUAGUUAUCUAUGUGUUGAGACAGUUGAAACAACAUGGGUGCAACUAUCCGACUCAUGAUUUGGAGUUUAUAGCUAUGGUAUUUACAUUAAAAAUAUGGAUGCACUACCUGUAUGGUGUGAAGUGCUAUAUUUAUACUGAUCAUAAGAGUCUCAAAUACCUUUUCACUAAAAAAGAGUUGAACUUGAGUCAACGGAGGUGGAUAAAAUUAUUAAAGGACUAAGACUGUGUGAUUGAAUAUUACCCUAAAAAAGCCAAUGUAGUGGCAGAUGCUCUAAGAAGAAAACAAAUGAUUGAUUUAAGAGCAUUGCUUGCUAGGUUAAGUCUAGUGGAUGAUGGAGGCUUACUAGCAGAACAACAAGUGACACGUACCUUGGUUAGUGAAAUUAAAGAUAAAUGACAUUAGAUGUGUCCCUGUUGUCAUGGAUUAAGAAGGUGGAAGACGAAAAAAAUGAGGAUUUUAGGUUUAAUAUUGAUGGUUCUAUGCUUGCGAGGGAGAUAUUGUGUGCUGAAUGAUAAGGGUCUAAAAUAGUCUAUACUUCAGGAAGUGCAUACUAGCUUGUAUGCUAUGCAUCCAAGAGGAAAUGAUAUGUAUUAGGAUUUAAGCAAACUGUACUGAUGGCCUAGACUGAAACAAAAAGUGACAGAUUCUAUAGCUAAGUGCCUAACGUGUCAGCAAGUGAAAGCUAAACACCAGUUCACUUCUAGUUUGUUGUAACCAAUUAAAAUACCUUAGUAGAAGUGGGACCGAAAAAAAUGGACUUUGUUAGUGGGCUACUUUUAACACCCACUAAGAAAGACUUAAUUUGGGUGAUAGUAGAUCGAUUAUCUAAGUCAGCUCAUUUCUUACCUUUUUAUACAUAUUACUCUUUACAAAUUCUGGCUAAGUUAUAUAUUUCAAAGGUUGUAAGACUACAUAGAGUACUAGUAUCUAUUAUUUCAGAUCAAGAUCUCCAUUUUACAUUUCGAAUUUGGAAGAAACUAAAUGAGGCACUAGGUACUUGUUUGGAUUUUAGUUCUACCUUCCAUUCAUAUACUAAUGGACAAUUCGAGCGAGUUUUCUAGAUCUUAGAAGAUAUGCUAAGGGGCUGCAUUAUUGAACUCUGAGGUUGUUGAGAGGAACAUUUGCCCCUAGUAGAAUUUUCCUAUAAUAAUAGCUUUCAGUUAAAGUAUAUAAAUGACAUCUUAUGUAGCCUUUUAUGGUUCUGAGUGCCGAACAUCACUGUGUUAGAUUGAACUUAGUGAAAGGAAAAUUUUGGGUCCUUAGGAGGUAGAGGAGUCCGAGGGAAAAAUUAGAUUAAUUCAGGAUAGAUUGAAAGUGACUUCAAAUAGGCAGAAGUCGUAUACGGACCUAAUGAGAAAGGACAUCAAAUAUAGUGUCAGAGAUCAAGUCUUCCUGAAAGUGUUGAGUUUCAGUCAAAAAGGUAAGUUAAGUCCUAGGUUCAUUGAACCUUACAAAAUUCUUAAGAGAGUCAAUCGAGUGGCAUACCAAUUAGAAUUACCUCCUGAGUUGGACCAUAUUCAUGAUGUAUUUCAUGUCUCCAUGUUGAGAUAAAACCAAUUCAACCUUUUCCAUGUUGUUCUAAUCGAAGAGAUCGAUGUGAGGCUGAAUUUUUCUUUUGAGGAGAAACUUAUACAAAUUCUAAGAAGGAAAUGAAUCCAAUUAGUUAAGGUUCUGUGGCGAAACCAUGGCACCAAGGAGGCUAUGUGGGAACCAUAAGACUCAAUCUGUUAACAUUAUCCUCAUCUGUUUGAAUCAUGUAAAUUUCAAGGAUAAAAUUUAUUUAACGAGGGGAGAGUUGUCAUGACCUAAAAUAUAAGAGGAUCAUUGAAAUGGAUAGACAAGAAUUGAAUUAGGCUUCAUGAUCAAGUGUUAGAGAAUCCUUCUUAGAGGCCCAAGUUAGAGCUCAUUUCCUCCCAUUUCCUUCUAAUUAUUUUUCGACAACCUAGGUUAAAAGCCACACUUAAAAUAUAUAUAGUAAGGAAUUAAAACUGAACAAGAAUAGGCUUCAGGCCUAAUAAUUAAGAGUUAGCGUCCCUCCCUGGUGACCCUUGGUUUGAGCCACUCUUUCCCCAAAAGUAUUCAUUUCAUUUUCGACCAACUUUUGGGAUAUUUAUCGUUGCCACCCUAAAAUGGAUAGACAAGAAAUGAAUUACGCUUCAUGGUAAAGUUUUAGAGAAUCCUCCUUAAAGACCUAAGUUCGAGCUCCUUUCCUCCCAUUUCCUUUCUUUUAUUCUCGACAACCUAGGGUAAAAGUAACACCUAAAAUAUAUACAAUCAGGAAUUAAAAUUGAAUAAGAAAUAGGCUUUAAGCCUAAUGGUUAAAAUUUAGCUUCCCUCCAUUGUGACCCUCGGUUCGAGUCACUCCUUCCUCAAAAGCAUUCCUUUUAUUCUCGGUCAAAUUUUGGGAUAUUUACCGUUGCUGCCCUAGGGUUUAGAAACCCUAGCUAUUUAGUCAUUCCUAUUCCUAUUUUGAUUAGGAUUUUCUCUUUUCAAAAUUUUAGUAAAAUUCCUCUUCAUCCAUUUUCCUCCUAUUUUCUCUCAUAUUUGCACCAUAUUUUCAUCCUAAUUUGUGAUAAUUAUUUUGCUUUCUUGAAUCAAAUCAUCAUUCAUUCUAUCAUUCUUUCUAUCAAUUUUAUAAUUGUCUUCAAUAACAUCCCUACCUUUGCUAAGAAUCUGUAAGUACAUCUUGUUUCCAAUGUUUAGAUCCUGAACUUUGGUAGUAUUAAUAUCUAAUGCUAAUCUUACGUCCGAUUAACCAAUUUUUAUAGUUAUUGCCAAAUCUUCUGUUAAUCUUGUCAAACUUGAAACCAUCAGUUAAUUUGUGUGUAAAUGUUGUUUGAAGGAUCGGAUUUAGGUGAAUCAGAUCAGAAUCGAGUGUUAGAAAUGUCAACUGGCAACGUGGUAAAAUGUGUGUAUUCUUUACCAAGUGAAUCGGGGUACACCGUGUGUAUGUUUAGGGUGACAUGGGCGUGUGGAUGACAUGACCAUGUGCUUCUAUUUUACAUUAAGGUACUUCGAUUUUCAUAUGGCCACAGCUUGUUAUGUGGCCUGGCCACAUGGCUGUGUAACCCUCCCACACUGUCUUAGCCUUCUUACAUGGCCAUGUGACCCCUGUUUUAAAGCUUUGCCCAUAAAUUUGUGAAUUGUUCUAUUCAGUCCAUGUAUAGUCCCCAAAUUAUUUUUAGAUUUUUAUUUCACUCAAUUGAAUCCCUGAUAAUAUGUAUAUUUGGAAUCUAUGAUCUGAGGGGCUGAAUUAUUAUUGUUAUAAGCAUGAUAUGUAAAUAAUACAUGCCUACUGCUAUUGUUAAACCGAAUACACGUUAAGCAUGUUUAUUGCUACCGUAUUAAUCUGUUACAAGCUUGUUAUAUUGCAUUGCAUGGGGUGGAAUGAUAUGAACAAAGGAAGAAUGAGCAGUUCAUCUGCAAUGAUUAGUGGUUCAUCCACAAUGUAUUGACAACUUGUCUGGAAAUGUUUUUAUUUGAAAACUUUGGUGGUUCAUUCAUAAUUUUUAUUACUAACAGUUCAUCUGUAAUGACUAGUGGUUCAUCUAUAACAAUGAGUGGUUCAUCUACAACGUGAUGUAUAAGGAUGGAUGAGUUAUGAGGAACUCUUACUGUGGUGUGUAACGGAGUUAAGUAGAAUCUUUUCUAAAAAAUUGAAACUACAUCACCAUUCAUAAGCAUGUAUAUGCAUAACUGUGUAUUCUGAAAUAUUAUUAUAGUGAUGUAUUAAUCAGGAAAACUGAUUCUGAGAAUUGUUAUAUGAUUGUGUUUGUUAUGAAAAUUGUUAUUUUGUAUGUUACAUCUACGAUUUUCACUAAUUUUCUUGUGAUAGGACUCACAUCGAGCUUCUUAAAGCUCACCCCACUAUAAUUUUUAUCUUUCCAGAUAACCCGCAAGGUUAAGGCACAGACUCGACAUUCGAAAGGUCUCGGCUCGAAAACAAUAAUUUUAAUAAAUAGUAUUGAGAUUUUAUAAAUUCUAUUAUUUGCAACUGUAUUGAUUUAUUCAAACUGUGGCAUGUGACUUAAGUUUUGGGUUGAUUUGGAAUGCAUGACAUAUAAUUUGAAAUCAGGAUGUUGAAUUAUGAAUUACGAGUUAAUUAUACAUGAAAUUUAAUUUUCAUUAAAACUAGGUUAAAAAUCACUUUUCUGCUACAUGACUAGGUAAAUGAGAUUUAAAUAAAUAUGUAUACACACAUAAAAUUGGAAUUUAACUUUGGUAAAACGAUCACUAAAAUCAUCUCGUUUUUGAAAUUAAAUUGUACCUUUUAGAAACACGCUAUGUUUUUCUUCAAAAAUUAAAACAAAUGUUUUUAAACCCCGAUAGUUUUGCUAGGCCAUUUUGAUGAUAAAUGUAAUCUUUCGAAUUCGGACUUAAUGUCUAUGCUGGGUUGGGGAGGUUACAUGUAUUAUUAUAAUUUUUUUGAAUGAUAUAUUAUUAUAAUGUUAAUUUUUUAUGUUAAUGAUAUAUAAGUUUUAACCUUGAAUGUGUAACCAACUUUAUGGUAGAUUAGAAUAUAUAUACAAUUAUUAUUAUAUAAUUAGGGUGGACUAUUAAUGAUAUAUAACUCUAUAUAGAUUUAUGAUAUUAUAAUAUACAUUUUUAUAUAAUGAUAUGUAAGCUUAAACCCUAAACAUGAAACUAACUUUGAGGUAGAUUAUAAUAUAUACAAUUAUAAUUUAUUUGGAAUCCUUAUGUUUAAAUUGUUAGGUAUGUUUAUAUUGUUAUGAAAUCAUUAUGCUUUAUUUGUUUCUAUUGUUAUUUAGCUACUUCAAUUAAUUUAUUUUUUAUUUAAUUAUUAUUAAUUAUGAAUAAAUUUUAUCUAAAAUCAAUUUCUAUUUUAUUUUAAUGUUAUUUUUAUAAUUUUAAUUUUAGUAUCUUCAGAUUUAGAUUUUUUUUGGAUUCGAAUAUCCAGCAAAUGAUUAAAAAUGUUGAAUUUGAAAUUUUUUUAUUGAUAAAGACGCUUGGAGAUAAUGAUAUUUAAUUCAUAUUCGAAUAUAGAUAGUAAUAUUUAGAUUUAAAUUUUUAAACAGAUUUACAUAUUCAAGUAUCCUAAAAUUACAAAUAUUUUAACCCGCUGCUAUUCUUAUUAUAAACAGAUUUAAAAUUUUAAAAAUUAAUCUUUUAAUAUAUGGAAUUUUUAUGCCUCAUCAAUUGGAGUGAUAAUAAUGGUAUAUUUAUAAAAAUAUUUUACGAUUUUGUAUGAAAAGGAAAUUCGAUAAAAAUAAAAUCAAGACACUAGAAUUUGUAUUUGGUCAACAUUAUUUGUUUGGGAAGACGAACGCUAAGAAAAAAAAAUUACUUGAAUGGAAUUAUGAUUGUAGUGGUUACUAAAAGUGGCAUUUUGAUGAAAAAAAGUACGUACGAUUGUUUGUACAAUUUGAUUUUAUUACAUGUAUAAAGUUUACUUCAGUAAAUAAAUUUAUUAUCUUUAAAUAUAGUAUAACAAUAUUAUAUUUGGUACAAGUAUUAUUUUUUACUAUGUUUUAAUAUAUGAGUUUGUAAUAAACUAAUUUCAAUUGGUCAUUUUUAGCCACUCAUAUGGCUUAAUUUGCGAGAAGAACAGAGAAAAUUUUCGCUUAUUUUGAAGAUGUGUUAUUUUUUUCAAAAAAUUUACUCAUAUUUGGAAUCUCAAAUUUAAAUUUGUCCUAGCUAUACUUUAUUUUAUGUCUAACUAUUGCAAUAAAUAAUGUAAUAAAUAAGCUUUUUCUUGAUGUUAUUACAUAAGUAACCACAUGAGUUAAAAGCGACUUAAGUUCUAUCACAAAUUGGUAUAACAACCUCAAUUUUGUACCUAAAGAUAUAGAUCAGUCUCCUCUAAGUCUAAGAACUUAGGUAAAACGUGUUUACCCUAUUAAGUGUACUCUAAAAAAUAUGUUCUACAAUGAAUAGAUAUGUGCUCACAAUACUCGAUACAAAACCUAUACAAGUCUCAAAUAUAUAAGAGUUUUGAGACUAGCUAACAUAUUAGAAAUAAAUUAUAAUUACUUCUCUUGUUAAACAACAACUAAAAUAACAAUAUACAAUGUAAUAAUAAAGAUUAAUGUAAGGCGGAUUGUUCAAGAUAUGUCCUCAAUGCUAUCCGGAUCCAGUCUAUAAAAUUCAAUGAAUUCGAAUGCAUAAUCCAAACUAAUAUAAUCUUCAAAAUAAAUUGUUUGAAACGGAUUAAUCUUAAUAAAUGAGUCCACAUACUUUAACAAUAUCAAAUUGUUUAAAGCCUAAAAAUUUUAUUUAAAAUUUUAUCAACCUAAAGUAACAAAGUCGAUUAUAGUAUUAAUCGUAUAUGAAUGAGUAUAUAAUAAUAUUUAUAUAUUUUUAAAAAUUAAUAAUAUGUAGUGUCAAAAAAAUUAUAUAUUUUAAGAUUAUCUUCAUUUAAAUUAUUAUCUUUUAAAUUUAAUAUCUAUUCAGAAUUAUAUUAGAUAUUAAGCCGGCAAAGGAAAAAAAGAAAACGUCAUCCAGUACUAACGUUGAACGGUUGAUGACAGCAAAAGCCAUGGUGUGUGUAAAUUGGGGUUUGAUUUUUAGGGUUUUUGCUUUAUCACCACUGUAGUCAACCAAUUUUGCCCGGGUCUUUAUUUUAUUUAUACAUUCAAUAGCUAGUUAAAUAAACUUAAAUAAAGUCCCAAUAGUCCAUUUACAACCUUAAAUAAACACUAACAAAUAGCCCAAACAUAUACAGAGGCCCAAAGACCAAUAAGCCCAAUUUGCAAAAAGGCCCAAACUUGAAAGAACCACAAAAGGGGAAUCUCAGCAGCUGAAAGCACUAGGGGUUUCUAGAACACACCAGUGCUGCAAUCACAGCUUUCACGAGCAAUUUUUUCCGUACGAUCGUUGCUCCAUCCCUGCAUUAGAAUACACGAGAAAAGGAUAGAAACAGAAUACGGUAGAUGACAGCAAUAAAAUGUAUUUUUAUUCUGAAAUUUUGGCUAUAAAAGCCGAUGAUUGUACCUACAAAAGGGAUUACGGUCAAUACACGCAUGCACAUUAGAUAUUCAAAAAUCUAGCCCAAAAUUUGAAAGGUGAAUUCCGGAUUUAUUCUUUAUUUUCUUUGAUUGAUUCGCAUAUUUAGUACGAGUAUUAAAAGGGGGAAAUCUAGACUGACGCCGAUGAAAAGCCCCAAACAUCUCAGAUAUACAUAGAUGUGGGCGAGGGUCGAGUGAGAUUAAAGUGUUGUUUGAAUAUAUGUGAAAUUUAUUUUGUUUUUUUUAAAAAAAACAGUAUAAGAUUUACGUUUUUUCGUGGAAAACAAAAGAAAAAGGAGCGAAGUUACCUGAUUUUUGGAAAGGUGACCUUCGUUGGCUAGAUCUGGCCCUUAUCCGCGCCACUGGCCAUCAAAUUGAUGGAGGUUAAGGGCUGCGUGAUGAAAUGAACCCACACAGAGC
RNAcentral lists this long non-coding RNA (59676 nucleotides) under Gossypium barbadense (sea-island cotton). Its description in RNAcentral is "long non-coding RNA (GBAR_LNC001250)". Lineage: Eukaryota; Viridiplantae; Streptophyta; Magnoliopsida; Malvales; Malvaceae. The record is from RNAcentral.